RNAcentral lists this long non-coding RNA (82907 nucleotides) under Ananas comosus (pineapple). RNAcentral's name for it is "long non-coding RNA (ACOM_LNC024340)". The stretch from base 25001 to 25317 matches the Rfam family "Bacterial large subunit ribosomal RNA", at positions 1705 to 2024 of the family's 2925-position model. Lineage: Eukaryota; Viridiplantae; Streptophyta; Magnoliopsida; Poales; Bromeliaceae. The record is from RNAcentral.
CUAUCUUUCUAUCUGUGCCAGCUUAGACCUAGUGAAAAAAUCGGCGGAGUCGGCGGCCGAACCCACUGGAAACUAUAUUUAUAUAAUUUUCACCCCAUGUGAUUUUGGGGUACAGGUACACACAGGGGCGAGCCGAGCGAGGAUCGCAGCAAGGGCAUAACGCCCUGAGUGAGUUAGCUAGUAGCUUUCCUUUAUGCAUUAGAGUACCCUCGUGUACUAGAUACCAUAUAUAUUUGGGAUAGGCAUUGGAGAGCCAUGAUGUAUUUGGAAAAGAACAUGUAAUUACAUUUUGGAAGAUGAAAAUGUAAUGUAACCAAAUGAUGUAAAAAAGUUGAAUGGUUGUUGUUGAACCAAUACGGCGCAGACAGUUGGCACACCGAGUCCAUAUAUCGCUGGAUCGGGAGCACGGAAAACGCGCCAGGGGAUAUGAGCUGUGAUUAUUUGAAAAAUGAUAACCGUAAGCAGUUAUGGGCAGUUCCCAAUGGCAGUUCCAAUCGGCCGAACGUGGCCUUCCAAUCCGGAGAAGAUGGCCGAUCGUGCAAUAACUGAACACAAGGGGAAAAUAUAUAAAUAGGCCUGUAGUACCCUAAAAAGGGGUCUUNGGAGAGCCAUGAUGUAUUUGGAAAAGAACAUGUAAUUACAUUUUGGAAGAUGAAAAUGUAAUGUAACCAAAUGAUGUAAAAAAGUUGAAUGGUUGUAAUAGCUAGAUAUUUUUCUCUUUAUACACUUGUAUUUUACUUGUGAACGUUGACAUCGAUUCAUUCCAACAUUACACUCUCGGGGCUUAAUAGAACAAUAUAAUUAGGUUUUACUCUUUGUUCGAUUGAAUGAGAAAAAGUACUCGUUGCAAAGUUAUACUGUUAGGACAGAACUGAGUAGUCUAAUGUUGUUCCGGUUUUGGUUCUUGUGAACGUUGACAUCGAUUCGUUCUAAAUUUAUUCUCUUGGGGCAUAAUAGAACAAUAUAAUUAGCUUUUACUCUUUGUUCGAUAGAAUGAGAGAAAGUACUCGUUGCAAAUUUAUACUGUUAGGGCGCAAGUUAGUAGUCUAAUGUUGUUCCGGUUUUGGUUCUUGUGAACGUUGACAUCGAUUCAUUCCAAAUUUACACUCUCGGGGCAUAAUAGAAUAAUAUAAUUAGCUUUUACUCUUUGUUUCAGAUUGGAAAUCAUGUGCUCUUGAAAGUCUCGCCGACUCGAGGGAUUAGAAGAUUUGGAAUCCGGGGCAAGUUGAGCCCCCGAUUCAUUGGAUCAUAUGAGAUUUUGAAACGUGUAGGCCCGGUGGCAUACCGACUUGCUCUACCACCGAACCUAUCGGAUGUACACAACGUCUUUCAUGUAUCAAUCCUUCGGAAGUACAUUCAUGAUUCGGCUCAUGUGCUUAAUGCGAUGCCUUUGGAGCUGAGGGAGGAUUUGAGUUUCGAGGAGCAGCCUGUGAGGAUCUUAGCUUGUGAGGUGAAGAUGCUGCGAAACCGCGAGAUCCCCUACAUGAAGGUUCUUCGGAUCAAAUUUAAAUUUUAAUGUAAAAUAGAUGGAUAGAGCAUAUUGAUAUUCUGGCAAAAAUUUGGAUAAGUAUGAAUUUAUUUCUAUUCUAGAGAUAAAAAAAAAUUAAACAAAUUUUGAAUUAAAAUAUAGAUUCACAAUAGAUAUCUUUCGGUUGGCAAAAUUUGAAUAAGUAUAUAUAUUUUUUUAUUUUAGAGGUAAAGAUGAAUUAAAAGUUUGUUUUAUUAUGUUAUUUAUUUUAUGUAAGGAAAGAGGAAUCAAAUUUUUUCCCCUAAAAAUGGGUCUGCUGACAUAUCGAAAUUUGAAAUACGUGCUAGAUAGUAUAGAUAUUAUAUUACAGUUAGAGAUAAAAAGAAUUAAAUAAAAAUUUAUAGUAGAUAUUUUCAGAUUGGUAAAAAUUUGGAUAAGCAUAAAUUUUUUUCUGUUGUAGAAAUAAAGAGGAAAUAAAAGUUUGUUUAAUUCUAUUAUUUAUUUUACGAAAUACAUGCUUUUAUAUAUAGUAUAGAUAUAGAUAGGGGUGGCAAUCCAGCUCGCUGUUCGUGAGUCAGCUCGUGUUCGGCUCGAAAUGAGCUCGAGAUCGGCUCGCUCGUUUAGUAAAUGAGCCGAACACAAGCUAGAUUUUUCAGCUCGUUUAAUAAACGAGAACACGAGCUGGGGUCAGCUCGCUCGUGUUCGGCUCGAUAACAGCUCGAAUGCAUAUAUUUUAUAUUUAUAUACUUUAUUUAAUUUAUAUUUUAUAUAUAAAUAAAUAAUUUUAUUAAUAUAUAUUUUUUAUUAUUUAUUUGUUAGUAAAUAAACAUAUAAAUGCGAGCUAAUUAUAAAAAACUUAUUUAUAUGUCAAAGUUUCAAAUAUUAGAUCAAAGUCUAAUAGAUAAGAAUUAAUAACAUUUAUUUUUAUAUAUAUUUUCUAAUCUAAUUAUUUUAAUUUAUGGUUGUGUGGCCAGCUCGUGAGCCAACUCGUGUUUGGCUAUUAAUAAAACGAGCGGAACACGAGGCUGAAUUUUCGGCUCUCCCGGUACUUUAACGACCAGCUCUGUUCGGGUCGUUUACAUAAACGAGCGAACCACGAUGGACCCCGGCUCUCGGUUCGUGUUCGCGCAUCGUUUACACCUCUAGAUAUAGAUAGUAUAAAUAUAGAUAAUAAUAAUAAUAAUAAAAUAAUAAAUUAAGAUUCGAGUCGGGUUCAGAUCGAAUAAAAUACAAAAUUCAUAGCCCUAUCCACAUUUAUUAGAUUUUUCAGUUCGGAUUCCCAUCGAUCCUUCGAGACACCCGUACUCCCCUGCAGCUCCUCCCUCCCGAUCUCCUCCUUUCCCUUGUUCUCGAUCACCCAAGCCCUCGUCCUUACGAUCCCCAUGGACGGCGAGGGGGGCAGCGGCGGCGGAACCCUUUCGGAGAUCUACCAGAGCGCACGUCGCCUCCUCCUGCGCGCGAGGGAUGGGCUCGAGAGGCUCGAACGGCUCGAAUCCUCCUCCUUCUCCUCCUCCUCAUCGUCGCCCUCGCUCGGGGUCGGCGCCGAUUCGCCCGAGCUCGCCUUCGCCAUCAAGAGGGAUAUCGCCCAGAUCCGGUCACGCUGCGCCGAGAUGGAUCACCUCUGGCGAUCCGUCGCUGCCAAGGGCCAGCGGGAUCUCUGGAAGAGGUAACUGAUCUGGAAACCCUAGCCAUUUCAAACUUGAUUAGGUUUUGCUGCUAUGCUAUGCUAUGCUAUGCUAUUCAGUGGGUUGAUCUGGAGAUUUAUUUAUUUUUAUUUUUAAUUUAUUUUUUAAAUAAGGCAGAAUUGAAUUGAUGGGAAAUUAGGGGAUCGGGGGAAUGUUAUUAUGAUUUGAAGAAUGGUUUGCUCAUGAUUUGGUUUGAUCUCAAGAUCAGCGUUCUCACGAUUAUUAUCUAAUAAAUGUGCGUUUGCUGGUAACUCACCUCGUUCCUUCUUUCUUCGCCUAUGCUUAUUCCGUGUCGUAUAUCGAUUUUGUGUAGUUGUUGGCUCUUGAUUGUGAGGAAUGAGCCUGCGUCGAGCUGACGAAUUUGCUGGGAUCAAUUUCUCAAAUGUGGGUAAAAGAUGCAACCCGCCGAGAUAUUGCUGCUACAUAUUUUAUCCCUUUUUGUCCUUGUUAAUUUCAGUUGGUUUUCUUUCAUUAAUUCAAUUUGAAAUUUUUAUCCCAAUCAAACUAAAUUGGUGGGUAUCAGUAGUUGAAGAGAUUGUUGUCUCUGAUAUUUUUAUUAGUUAUGUUGCUUAUACAAGAGCCUAAUUUUAGACUCUCUCAUCUAAAAUAAUAGGAAUAAGAGAUUUUCUUCAUAUCUCAAAGUCAUUCUUAAAUAAAAAGAGUGAGAGAAUAUAAGAAGAAGAAUCUGUAUUUUAUAUUUCAAAAUAGGAAGUAGCAAAACUGAUAGAAGAAUCAAUUAGCAUAAAAAAUCUAGCCAACAGAAUAUGGGAUUAGAAAAAGAAUCAGCUUAAAAAUAUCCAGAGAAGAUAGAAAAAAACUUAAGUGAUGAAAAUGCACCAAUAAAAGAGGCAACAGUCAACUCAAAUCAAAGGAAAGCCUAAAUUUAAGUUCUAUAAUGUACUGAAAUAAAUUUUAAACUCGUAUUUUAGAGUUAGGAAAUCUGCAGUAAUUGGAGUAGAUGAAGAAAGUACGCUAAUCUUUAGGAGUAGCAAAAUUUGGAGAACAUCUAAAAUAAAAAGAAUAAAAGGAAUAAGAGAAUAUAAGAAGAAAAAGCAUCAACAUUUUACAUAUGAAAAAGGGAAAUAGUAGAACUAAGUAGUAGAGCUGAUAGAGGAAUUAGUCAGUAUGAAAUAUAGUCAACAAAAUAUGUAAUUAGAAAAAGAACCUUCUACAAUCUAGAGAAGAGACAAAAGACUAAGUGAUGAAGAUACACCAAUAGAAGAAGAAGCAACCAACUUAAAUCAAAGGGAACCCUUCCAAAAUUGGAAAUAACUAAUAUAUUGGUUCUUUUUUCUACAAAGGAUUUUCUUUAAAAAAUAUCUUUUCUUUCUUCAUUUUUGCCCACCUUACUUGUCACGUCCCGAGACCGCCAAUUUGGUCGGAUUGGUCCUGCACACAGACGCCAAACGAACAGAACCUCCUCUGUUCGCCUAAGGCUCAGCAACAACAACUAAACAUGUAUAAUGAAAUGCCCAGAAAAAUUUCCAGUAUAUAUGGCUUACACGAAGGUAAGCAACACAAGCAAAUGAAAGUAAACUAACUAAACCAUUCAUACAUUGUAACUUGAGUACUUUAAAUCAAAUACAAAGCUUACAUGUCACGCCCCGGAGACGGCAAGGCCCUCCCGGUAGCGCGCCCAGACCCGCCAUAUGUCUGCACAUAUAAGGCGUCUACAACAACAGCGGAAGAGAAGCGAGAGAUAAUCAACAACUAGAGAUAUCAAAGCAAGUGUAACAACUAAAUACUAACAACAAGAGAAGGAAGGUAAAGUAAUCCACUAAAAGUAAGCAUAAAGUAGUACAAUAAUCAUCUCCAAAAGGGUACAAUAAGGGGUGGUUUCUAUACAUGGGUGAAACUCUCAACCUUUCUAAAAUGAAAACAACGAGUGGUAGACCACCUAUAGACGCGUCCCUCGAAGCAGCUAACUCGAGGCAAUACCCUUUCCACGGUCCCUAGCCUCUCCCGGCGUGGAAGGCUCUGAAAUAAAACAUAAAAUAGAGAGCGUGAGAACUAUAAUUUAUAGUUCCUAGUGGGCAAUUACUGACCUCAGCUCAAUGCACCAUUAGGCUUCAAAAGAAAAGGGUAAGUACGAUAAGCAACAAUAGUAGUAAUAGAUGAUAAUAAACUGCAGAAUUGAAAGCAUGAGUGAAAUGCUAUGCCACAGGUAAACGUGAUGUAUAUCAAUGCUAUCAUGUUUGAAUAUGCCAAUGUCGGGUAAAUACGCUCAUCAGUUACCAAGUAUACUAAGAUGCGAUAAGUAAUCCUAUCAAGUAUACUACAUGUCCCAAUAUCUCAAAGCCACACUAUGAGUAUGUCCAAUAAUCCAACUGCUAUGAUCUAUUUAGCAGUGAUUCAAAUUUAAGAGGUUAUGUUCAAGUUCAAUCUUGUUUUGGAACUUACACGAGUGUAGUCCGGCUUGCGCCGCCUAAGUGUCGGUGGUAGCUCCAGCAUUUUCACUCUGGAAAUGAGCCUAUCCCUCCCGAUCCCAUAGGCUUCUCGAUACCGCACGAGCGAUCAUAAGUCGCGUAGGUCAACUCCGGAGUGCCGACUUGUAGGGAGCGACCCUCACAAGCAUGUGCGAAUGAGCACAAAUGGCAAACAAGCAAUAUCAUCGUCUCAAGUAUCCAAUCAUCAUGUCUCCAACAUGGUAAAAGUCACUUGUAACCCGAAGGUCUAGUUCUAUGUCUCAAUAUGAGGUUUAAUCGUUCAAUCAUUUCUAUGUCAAUGACCAUAGCUUUACUACGUCAAAUCCAAGCCCAAUGCCCCUUUUAUGACAUUAGCUUACUAAAUCACGCGUCAUGUACAUCUAUGUUCUUUGAUUUCAUUACAUUAUGCUAAGUCCAAAUUCAGUCCCAACACUAGUGCUGCUUUAUGACACUAGGUUUCACUUGUCCCAAUUACAUCACACGCCCAAUGCCCCUUUAUGACAUUGGCUCAAUAGUAAGCUAAUAGUGUAAGUUUCAAGUCUCUUCACGGCAUUAUGUAUGGUCCUAUGUCCAACAUGAGAGUUAUGUCUAAAUGCACAUUAUCCUUCUCAUUCUCACUAUAUAAAACAUGCUCUUGAGUCUUAUCUAGAAUGCUAAGCACAUGCAUAAGUCUCACAUGCCACUCUCUGCUACAUAGAGGUCCAAAAAUGUAUUAUAUACAAUGUAGGCAUUUUAAGCAUUCUAAAAUUCACAAUAAAUACAUUUAUCAUGGAAAUGCAUGAAUUUCUACUUUACGAAGUAUAGAACAUCGGAUAUGAGAAUUUCUCAUAUGCUAGGCUAGGUCAAACCCACCGAACUUCGCGCAACCCUUCGUUUGCUCCAACGAAGAUGUCCACUAAGCUCCUAACACCCUAGAAGCAUCAAAAAGUGAGCUACAAGAAGUAAACGAACAACUAUUAACUCAAUCAUUAACCAUCUAGGCAUAGAGGGCUAAACUCUCACCUAUAGUGUAGAAAUCCCUUCCCAAAGCUCAAAUGGAAGCUAGAUCUCUCCCAAAGCAACCUAAACCAAGGUUCUAAUCCAAAUAGAUUAGCACAAAAAGCCCUAAAUCAAAAAGCCCCAAUUUAACCCUAGAUUUUCCAUUCUAGGGUUUCAUCUCCCAAAAUCCACCAAAACUAGGUUUAGAGGGGAGGAACAAGCAACAAACCUCUUUAGAAGUUCCAAUCCAAGCUCCAAGAGUGAAGAUCUCCUCUCUUGCAAGCUCCAAAUCCAAGCCUCCAAGCAUCAACAAGGUGGGAAGAGAAGGAGAGGAAAAUGCUCCAAGUUCUCAAGCUAGAUCCUCCUCCUCUUCUUCUCCUUCUUCUUCUUCUCUUCCUUCUUCUCCGUCUCUAUCUAGGGUGUUGGGAGAAUGAGAGAAAGAGAAAUGAGAAAAGGGAGAGGGUGAAAUGGCCAUGUAGGCCAUCAAAUGUAACAAAAUCCAAAGAGGCCCCUCAAUUUCCCAAUAUUGCAUCAGCUCGGACUGGGCAGUUUUCGGACUGAGGGACCGGUCUCUCCGAUCUGGGACCGGCCUCUCGGCCUGCCCCGAAAAUCCAACGUUCGGGAAUCGGUCUCUCCCUGCAUGGGACCGGUCUCUCCCCGCAUGGACGCGCUCGGGGAUCGGUCUCAUCCGCCAAGGACCGGUUGCCUCAAGGCUGCCGCACUACUGUUCCGGGGGGACCGGUCUCUCCUAGCCAGGGACCGGUCCCUGAGAGUAAAAACUCUCAGGACUAGUCCAGAACUCAGGUUUUCGAACUUUUUAGGUCGGAAACAUUCUACGACCCUCCACCAAGUGUAGAAAAGCUUGAAACACAUCCAACCACUCGAACCUCGCAAUUUGCACAGGUCCGUGUGCUACAUUACAGGUUAUGCAUUCACACAUUUACAUUGCCAUCUCUCAAUGAAUAACUUACAUUUCCUUUCAUCAACUAUAAACAGAUGAAAUAUACAAGGUAUAGCUAUACUCAAUAGAUGUUGCUAUCUAUAGCGCGUUGUCUCUGUCACGAUCCUCAAUCACCCCGCACGAGCUAGAACCUGCAUGGUUAGUGGGGUGAGAACUACUAAAAAUUUCCAGUGGGUUCGGCUGCCGACCUCGCCGACUCACCUACUAAGUUUACUCAGGCAUAUAUAGGCAAAGAAAAGAACAGAUAGUAACCAACUAUAACAUGUAAUUACUACAAUACCUGUACAAAGCUGAAAGGAACAAUAUAUAUAACAGAUGAAAAUUAUGCAUGCAUGCUAUUAAUAACCAUUACCCAAUCAAUCUGGUUAACCAUUUGGUUAACUAUAACUUACCAACUCAAUCACUUUUGUCGGGCCCUAAGCUGCCUCCCGAUGGGACCGUCUACUGGGAAGACUUAUACGAUCAACCGAGUUGAUGACACACUCCGGAGCUCAUCGCCCAAGGAGGAGAGACCUUACCUUGAGCAUUAGACUAAUGUGAGUAUGAUCCAAUCCUCACUUAGAGGAUGCACUGACAAUGCCACACUUUGACUAGCUCUUUAUGCUAGAUUUACAUGUCCAACUCUAGAUGCUAAUCAGUUCAUCUAGUUUUAAUGCCACACAUUUUACAAGUUCAUACAUCUAUAGGGUUCUAUGUUUACUAACCAUUGUCCAACUGUACUUUGCUUUCAAGGUAUACAAAUAGACCACAUGUCAAUCUAAUCACAUAUCAAGCUCAAUCCUAUAAUGCAUGAAUUUCAACUAAACAUAUACAAUCCAUAUAUGCUCAAGAAAAGUGGCGUAAACAUAAUAGGUCAUUCGAUGACUUCGGAAAGCACCACCCACCUUUAAUUAAUGCCGGAGUGCGAGAAAUCCACUUCCCGCACUUUAUGAACCAUCACGACCCUCGCUCGCGGUAAACGAAGCUAAAAUGAGGUUUUCCUCACUAGCUUGCCGUAGGCUCAUCGAAACGCCGAUCUGAGCUUUCCAACGCGUCAGUUUUACCCUCUAUUAGGUUUUCACGCGAUCAAUUCCAACCUAGAGCCUCAAUCUUGCAAAAUUGCAUUUCUAAUUUUAGGCCUCACAUAACUGUUACUACACCACUCUACAACAACAUAUAAAGUAACUCAACUUUAACUAGUCCAAGAACCUCAAAACUAACAGUUUAGAGGAUUUACCACAACCCUCAACAAAAACCUGCAUGCUGGUUCAUCACAAUUCCCAGCAGCCUAGCUUACAUAUAACAUACGUAUAGUUUCAUUAUUAGGUUCCCUAACAACUUUAACUCAUAUACAUAUUGUUAACUCCCUGGUUUACACAGCAUCCAGGAAUUCCAAUUCAAACUCCUUUUCGAUAAAUAAUUACUCCAACUUACCAUAGAACUAGCAACUUAAAUUCUAUAUGCUAUCAACUUAGCAUAAUUUCUAGAUUUCCAUAGCAUUCAAGAUGCUUUAGCAAUCAAGAUUUAUAAUUUAAACUUCUUUAGAGUGUAACUAGCUUAAAUCCCAGCUGAGAAACAACUUCUUACCUCAAUUCCUAAACUUCCUCCGCUAGUUUCCUGCUCCAAAAGCUUUCUUCUCAGCUCCAACAGCAAGAAAUCUGCUUCGAAAUUCUUCUCUACCAAGCUUUUCCUCACAGCCACUACAAGCUGAGAAUUAGCAAUUCUAUUGCUUACAACUCUCUCUAAAGCAAUUCUAAAUGUUAGCUACCAAUAAUUCAUAGCCCAAACACCUCUCUAUGUUAAAUACCAUAACACAAAACAGGGAAUAAGAUCAAUCUAUCCCUGAUUGCAUUUCUAAUCCAUAUCCCAGAACAUCAUGUUCACAAAGCAGUUUUUUUAUGCUUCUACGAGCUUUCACAGCUAUAAAACCCCAAAUUAACCUCUUUCCAAUGUAAAGAACUAAACCCUAAUCAUAACUUGAUUAAGUUUACCUUAAUUCGAUGCUCCAACAGCUAGCUUCCCUGCUCUAAAGCCUUCUCUUCAGCUCAAAACACCAAAAUCUGCACUUCUCCAACUUCUUCUUCACCAACUUGCUUCUAGGGUUGAGAGAGAAAGAGAGGGCGAAAUAGAUAAGAAGAAGGCUGUAGGAAGGAGCCCCUGGUACGUGGGCACCUGUAAAAUACCUGGGUUAAAGAGAUAAGACUGGAAUUUUACAACUUAACCCCCUAAAUAGCCAAAAGUGCAUUGCAGUCCAGCAAAUUUCGCAUGCUGGUACCGGUACUGGCUGAGGUACUCAAUGUAAAAUUCUGCACUAGCAGCAGCCUGGCAGCAGCAGCAAUUGGAGGCCUUUUUGCGCGUCUAGUUCACUCCGAAUCCAUCUAAGUACCUCCAAAACAUGCCAAACACUAUCCCCAAGCUAUCAAUUUAGUUUGGGAAUACCACAUUUACAUUAUUGCUUCUCUUUGAGCAAUUGAAUCCAAGUUAACCUUGUCAACCAAAACUCUCUUCUAAUUUCGUUUCGCGCCCGAUUUGCAUCAAACACUCAAUUACCUCCAGAAAUCAUUCCCACACCUCCAAAAUCACUCGGGAAUGAUGCACAUCCAAUUUAAACUUCACUUUGAUCUUCCAGAUCAAAGUUAGCAUCGCAACUCAAAAUUUUCAGUAUAUUACAUUACUAAUCAAGUGUAAAAACUGAAUGGAUAAGAAGAAGUAGAGAAUAUAAUAGAUAGCAAAAGAACACCCAAUUUAAAGAUGAAAAAGAAAAAAGAAAGCAGCAACAACAUGAACGUGACCGACAACAUGAACAACAACAUUAUUUUAUUGUGUAGUAGAUGGAACAUAUCAAUAGUAUGAACAAUGCAGACAAUGUAAACAACAAUCCAGCAACAAUAGACUUAGUUGCAAUUUCCUUUUCUUCAUAAUUUUAUUAAAAGGACUAUCACCAACACAAAGAAGGGCAAAACAACAAAGAAAGACACCUAAACAUGUGACAGAAUUCAAGCCUAAACGUAGACAAAGACUAUUUCUGAAAUUCGAGAUGCAAAACCAACCUAAUAACAUACUUAGUAGGUCGGGAAAAAAAAGAGAGAACAAAUUGUAUCCAAUAAUCUUCGUCAAACGGGAGAAAGGCUAGAUCUUGUAAUAACUAGGAGGCGUUUCCGGAUCAUCACUAGUUGUUGCUGUUGUUUCUACAGUACCUGAUGUUGCCGGAUGUCCAGUGGGUUCUUCUUCCAUCGGAUCAACAUUAGGGGGAUCAAUGAAAGCGCAGCAUCAAUACUUUCCUUAAUUUCCUUCAAGGCAGUGACAAUUUAUUUAUUUUUCUUCAAUUAAAAAAUUAUAAGACUUUUUGAGAAGAUCAGAGUUCAAAUUAAACAUUUCGUACUCAUUUUGGAGUUCCAAAUGCUCAUCAUAAAUACGAUCAUGUAAGUUCUUAUAAUAUUUCUUGUUCUCAAAAUUAACAUCUCUAACUUUAAAUCCCAAUUCUUUACGAAGCCUCCUAAUAGCUGCACAUGCGGCAUCUCUUUAGCUUGAUUCGACUCAGAAAUUGAAGCACCAUAACAUGUAAUUAUCUUCAUAAAUCGGCUACUUCUGGGUACUUCCACAUCAACAUAAGAACAGAAUCAACAAUCAGCAUCUAUAGUCAUGCGGUAUCUCGGGGGAGGUAAGGAAAUUUGCAAACAGAUAUUACGAAGCAACCGGCGAAAGCUGAUGUCGACAUUUAUGGAAGAAUCCAUCUCUGCAAGAAAAUGCAAGUUGCCGAAAAUUACACGGUGACCGUAUAUUUUAGCAUAGACUUGUCUUUCAAUUUAGUUAAUAAAUACAUUAUCUAUCAAUUUAUACAUAUUUGGAGAUAUACUUACAGGCAAUAAAUUUAUAAUUAAAAAAAGCACAUGAAGAGAUGCAAUAGUUAUUUAAAUUGUAAAUAUAUUUUUGAAACAAAACACAAAUUGCUGAAAAUUACUUACAAUAACAGGGAAGCAAUGCAGAAGCAAACAAAUGUAGAACGACAAUGCAAAUCACCGUCACUUUCCUGAGGGAAAAAAAGUUAUGUUAAUUAAAAAAUAGUUAAUGUCGGCUAGGAUUACGGGUAGAUAAAAUUAAAAAAUAAAAAUAGUAUAAAAAUUUUAUAGCUUACGGGAGAAAAAGGAUUGGGUUAUCAGAUACAGGAAAAAAUGGAUGUCAUAUGUGUUAUUGUAUAGCCGAAUGGACAUGUGUUAGGGUAUAGGAAGCUCUGCUGCGAAACGCUUCACCCAUAGUGGAUUAAUCCAAAAUCGAAAACGGCGACGAAGGAAGACGAAAAGACGAUGAAAGAAGCGGCGGUGAGGGGAGAAAUCCAUCGUUUGAUUCCGGCACCACAAACAGCUAGAAUAGAAGAAGAAACGGUGAUAGAAGAAGCGGUGGCAAGGAAAAGGAUCCAUUGUGCCCAAGGAAGAGGAAAAGGGAUGGUUCGGCCGGAACGUAACAGCCUAAGGAAGAGGAAAGGUCUGACUCGGUUUGGUUCAUGCAAGGAAAGAGUGAACCAGGUUAGGUUCAAGCAAAGAAAAAAAAAAUUGAGCCGAUUCGAGCAGGUUCACCCGGUUUGGUUCAAAAAUAAGAAAGAGGGAACCUGGUUCGAUUCAAGCAAAGAAGAGGGAACCUGGUUCGGUUCAAACAAACAAAGAGAAAAACUUGAGUUGGUUUGGGCACAUUAACCUAGUUCAAUGAAAGAAAGAUAGAAAUACAUAGAGGACUUGAGCCGGUUCGGGUUGGCACCAACACUAAACAAUCCGGUUCGGUUUAAGGAAAAAAAGAUAGAAACAUGUGAAGGACUUGAGCCGGUUCGGGUUGGUGCCCACACUUAGCAAAUCCGGUCCGGUUCAAGCGAAGAAAGGACAUGCUGCCACGUGGCAAAUUUAAGGGAAAUAAUGAUAAGAAAGAAAGAUAGAAAUACAUAGAGGACUUAAGCCGGUUCGGGUUGGCACCUACACUAAGCAGGACUUAAGCCAGUUCGGGUUGGCACCUACGCUAAGCAGGACUUAAGCCGGUUCGGGUUGGCACCUACACUAAGCAAUCUGGUUCGGUUCAAGAAAAAAAGAUAGAAACAUGUGAAGGACUUGAGCCGGUUCGGGUUGGUGCCCACGCUCAACAAAUCCGGUUCGGUUCAAGCAAAGAAAGGAUAUGCUACCACUGGCAAGUUUAAGAAAAAUAAUGAUAAGGAAUAGAUUGUUCUAAUUAAAGAUGUAUGCGUUGAGAAAAGUUCACUAACAUAAUUAAGGUUCCGUGGAAGUUGAUUUCUCUUAUUUAUGAUUGUUUUUCUGGAUUAUCCCUUUAAAUAUAAUGAUUUUGUGUAGUCCUUGGUUCUUACUUGUGAGGCAUUCAUUGUGCAGAGUGAACAAAUUCGGAUGGAAUUCGAUUCUUGAAUGCAUGAAAAAAACUGUAAGCCUGGAGGCUGGAGCCAGAACAUGGCUUUUUAGAAUGGCUGAAAUUACAUGAUUAGUCAUGGUAAUUUGAUCAAAAUUUUCCACUCGUCCACAUCAACUCGUUGUACCUUUGUUGAGAACAAAGAAAAUUUGAACCCUUUUUUUUUUAUCUUAUCAUAAUUGAAAUGACUAAUAUCAAAAGAAUGACAAAUGAGAACCGAUGAUCAUUUGCUCUGAGAAAAAUUUUGUUGAUUUUUAGAAAUUUUUAGAAAUGUUCCUUGAUUUAGUAAAGCAUUUGAAAAUUUUAAGACAUAAAAUUUAGUGUUUUGAUCUUGCGUGUAUUGAUUAGUGGUAGGGGUUGUGAGAUAAUUAUUCAGUAUUACGGUGCUGUACGACUCAUGUGUGGUAAAAUAAGCCAUGUAUAAGUCUUGUUAAUGUAUAACGACUGAUGGUUCUUGCGCAUUUGAGAUGUAGUGCAUGCACUUUUGAUACGUUAUAUGAUCAAUGCACUAAGCUGCUCUAUCAUUAUCUGGGUUUUGAGUGCAGUUCAACUAAUUUUUGCUCAAAGUAGGUUUUCUUCAACCAAAUGGAGAGAAUGUUAAGGACGCUUUAGUUGUGAUUAGCAGGAAAAAACAAGGAAAAGAAAAAGAGAGACAGGUUGCCGCACACUAUUUAACUCGUUUUCUUUGCUUUGUAAUUAGAUAUGCACAAUACUGUUCGUGCUCUUUGGCAAGCAUCUAACAAAUUUUGAGGCUUUUUGCAUUUUGCUGUAAACCAAUGCCUAUAAUCUAAAACACUACGUACUGAUCCAAGUACUAGCUUAUCAAAUAAUAUGUGCUCAACUUUGUCUAUCUCCUUUUGCCUAUAGUUGGAUUAUCUUUAUUAAGGCCGUACUAACAGCAGUGACAGGUAUUCUGUAUUAUGGGAAAUUAUUUUGGGCAUGUUGACACUGUAUAUUCUAAUUGGUAGCAUCUAUAGCCUUCUGUCCUCUCCUGAAAAUCACAAAGUGCAAUCAGCCUGAAUCUACAUUAUCUGUCACUAAGUCGUGGUAUAAACUAUUUUGCAUUUUGUGUUACAUUCCUUACGCCUACUUUGUUCUCCCAUUAUCAUGUUCCACCUUUUGACGAACUCAAAAUUAAAUGUGAAAAUAACAUUCCUUCUUGGUGGACUUUCAUAUUGCUUAAACUGUACUUUGCUGGAGCUUAUGGAUUAUUUCUCUUCUUUAGCCUGUGGGACCCAUGCUUCUUAGUGCUCUCCUUAAAAUUGGUUCUAUUCUUAUCAUUUAACCGGUUUGUUGUUUCCGCUAUCGUCGCUUCGGAUUCUAUGGGCCCUGAGCGCGGAGGUUCCUUCUCCUUUCCCGACCAUUUCCUCUCUUCGCCGCCUUGGUUUCUUGCAUCUGUUGAAGUCGAAGAGUUGUUCUAUGCCAUUUCUCCUACCUGCCUUUGCGUAUGUAAUUCAGUCUCGCUUCCGCGAUCUCUGCUCCUCUAUAUAAGGUGGAGAGGGAAGGGAGACAUCCUUAGGCGUAGUCUAAAACCCUAGUGCCACCCUUCCUCGCGAUCAGUGACGGCGCCUCUUGGCUCUCUCUCCCUCUUUGUGAUCUGAUUAAGGUUCGGUUGAGCUACUUGAGGGCUCACAGUGCGAUUUGGGGCGUCUUGUGGGGAUCGGAUCGCUUUAUCCCUCAAACUUUUAGGUAAGUUUUGCAAAUUUAGCUGAAGAAUCUCACUUGAAGAACAUUUUUUUUCCUCUCUUUAUGAUCCUUUUGAGGUUUAUGUUGCUAUAAUUUUGGGUUUGGAGCUUGAAUCCUUUGGCAUCGAUCUGAUCGGUUUUUCUUUUUUUAUUUUGUGCAAACUAUAAAUUAAUUUGUCCACAAGUUUAAUACCCUAUGAAGAAUCUGACAUCAAGGAGCUGUUAAUGUGCUCUUCUAGCAUAUUCGUGGAUCAAAAGAUAGAGUUUUGGUGCUAUUAUUGAUGGUAUUAUGUCUUUUUGAUGCAAUUUAAUUGUAAAUAAGUGCAAUUUCAAAGGAUGCAUGUAUGAAUACAUUCCUAUAAACUUGCAUAGAUAUAGAUAUAAACUUCUCUACACUUCUUUAGUUAUUUAGNCCGAAUUAGUUUAUCGAAACCAUGUGCAGUCAACACAACAGAUAACCACAUAAAAACACAUAAUAAAUAAAUAAAUGAUUAACUAAAUAACUAAAUAAGUGCAAUUUCAAAGGAUGCAUGUAUGAAUACAUUCCUAUAAACUUGCAUAGAUAUAGAUAUAAACUUCUCUACACUUCUUUAGUUAUUUAGUUAAUCAUUUAUUUAUUUAUUAUGUGUUUUUAUGUGGUUAUCUGUUGUGUUGACUGCACAUGGUUUCGAUAAACUAAUUCGGUAUCAAGUAUUUACUGAUUGAAUGUUUAGUAGAGAAAACAAAUAUGAAUUUUUGAUGGGUGUCCAAAAUUUUUGUUGUGUUGAAUGUACAGAGUUUUGGGAUUUGGAAAAAUAUGUUUAAGCGUUAUUGAAGAACGGAUCUUUGUUAUUUUAUUGUUCAGCUACUGGUUUGUAUGUGUUUGAUGAAAUGCCGAUUUGAAACUUAAUUCAAUAUAAAGAAAAUGCCUAUAUUUUUCCGCAUCCUUACAUUUUGAUUUUUUUAUUUUAUAGCAUGAAGAGGUGGUGAUAAAUUAUAUAAUCAGAUUAUCUGAAAAUUAAAAUACGGAUUAUGCGGUAAAUAGUUGAAUUUCCUUUUAAUUGGGCACCUCCUGUUAUUUUCUUUGAGUUAUUUAAAGUUCCAUAUCAGGAAUUGAAUAGCAAGAAAAGGUUGGAUGCAACCAACACUAUUAUUUAAGGUAGUUUGGAUGCAGGUGCUGUGGACAUUCAUUCUUGAAUGGAAUUUAUUUAAGCAUUGGUAAGAGAGGAUAAAUUGAUCUUUUGUAGGGUGGGUGGCAUUGGAUUAAGUUGAUAUUUUAUAGGGUGGGUAGCAUGCGAUUAUUUUCUUUGCAGUCGCCAUAAUAAAAUGAGUGCUACUUAGGUUGAGCGAUAUGUUGAUUAUUAAAACAAAAUGGUGGACUUGGAGAUAGCAAGGAAUUUGAAAAUCAUCUAUCAUCAUUUCUAAACAUGUAAUUGGUUCUGAUUGGUUGGCCCAAUUUGAAACCUUGAUGAGUCCGUAUAUUUGUAUACUGGAGCUAAUUCGACUAUACGCUGAAAUAAGAAAAACUUACUAUGAUGGUGGUUCGCAUUAAGAUUGGUUGGAUGGCAUCAUUCAUGUCAAAUGCAGCACUAUGCAGUAAACUGAGGACCGUAUCACCUGAGCCGUUCUCAUAUUCAAAUGCUCAGAUUUGUUGAAGCCAUCGGAACUAAUUAGAUGCUUGAAAUUAUUAAUGAACUACCAAUUUUUAUCUAUGGUUGAAUUGAAUGUGUGGAAAUAGUGAGCGAUGAUAUUAUAGGCUGAUUCGAAUUUGAUCAGGACAUUAGGGAAUUAGAAUUGCUAUUUGUUUGCUGGUGUUAAUAGAGUGUAGACGAUUCAGUAAGUACUUACACUACAUUAGUACUUUGUUAAAAACAGCUUCACUUUCUUUUUUCACACCGCCGUAGUAUAUACAAAUCAAAGAAGAUUUUGCUAACAAAAAGUGUUAUUUUAGAGUAAUUACUUUGUGGUUUUCCAUUCUACUGUUUUAGUAUAAGCUUUGAUCACAAGAAAAAAGAAAAGAAUUUUAUGCUCCAAUGCGAUUUUCCAGUAUAUGUUGCUUUUGAAUUUUUUUAGUUUUCUCUCCCCUUUUUUUGUGUACUUUGAAACUUUUUCAAUGUGUGGAGGUCCUGGCAUUAUUUUCUACCCUAUCUAUUUCUUUGUGCUGGAGUAUUCUUUUAGUUGUUGGUUAUUUGACUAUUACUUCACUGUUUGAGAAUUUCUUGCCUUUCUCCAUAAUUUGAUUGAUACUUUUUUGUGGCUGGGUAUUAAACGAUCAUAAUUUGCCUAUUUCUAAAAGAAAUUUUUUUCGUCGCGCCUUAAGCUCCCUUCUUAUAACUAUCGCUUCAUAUAUUUAACUAAACCUCACUGUCUAUUACUUCAUUUUCUUACUACCUAAGAGUUUUUUUCAGUUAUUUUGAAAGAUUGAAUAAUAAGGUUCUCACACGAUGUUGGUGAUGCCAAUGUGUGCAUUCUUGAUUUUUCUUUGAUUUGCUCUUUAAGUUUCAUAUGGAUGGAUACUUUUUUCUAUGCCUUUUUGAUAUUAUUUUAUUUAUUAUUGAUCUUCUGUUGUUAAAUUUUGAUUUAAAAAAUAUUUAUUUUCUUCAUCAAUGAUGCAAAUCAGUAUUUGACCGUAUACUCUAUUGUUUGUAUUUUCUUUUUUUUCCUGAAAUUCAUGUUCCUCAUUUGAUAGUUACAGGAUUGCUUUUUAUAUAUUUGAUGAAUUGUUAUUGCAAGCUUUCUUCUCUAGACUAUCGUCAAUAAUACAUGAUGAUAAAAAAAAAAAUUGCUUCAACAUUAAUAUCUAUCCGCUGCAUCGUGCUGGUACUAAACUAGUAUGUACUUAUUGCCGUAGUCUUUACCAUCUAAGCUUCCUUAUCCCUAAAUACGUAAUGCAGGGCUAGAGGCUUUUUAGAAGCUCUGACCAGAAACAGCAAAGAUUUGAUAAUUCUUUACAUAUUAUGACUAAUCCUUGACAUAUUAUAUGUCAUUACAGAAAACUGGAACAGCUAGCAGAAGAGGUUGACUCGCUGAAGGAGAGUCUUGACAAGCAUUUAAUGCGCCAACAAAAGCGAAUGGUCGAAGCUAAAGAAAGGGCAGAGUUACUGGAAAGAGCAGUAAGAAUUCCUUGAUUUGGAAUAUAAAAAAGAAGUUUUAAUAUCAGUUAUUUUUUUCCACCUGCAUAGUUGUUGGUCCUCUAUGAAAUAAGGAUAAUUUGGCUUGCUGUUUUAAUGGAAUAUUAGAGGUUAUAUGUAUGAUUGAUUGCAAUGAAUGGAUUCAACAUGGUUGUUGCAGAAUGGGGACUCCUCUCACGUUCUGAGGAUAUUUGAUGAGGAAGCACAAGCAAUGCAAUCAGCUCGAAACUCCUCCAUAAUGCUUGAGGAAGCUUAUGCCACUGGAGUGGCUAUUCUAUCGAAGUAUGCCGACCAGAGGGACCGCUUGAAGGUAAUUACUGAUCACCUACUUGUAUGAGACAUUCUCAAAAUCAGAGAUCAGCAUGAAUUUAAUCGACUUGAGCUUAUCUGAGACCAAAUAUAAUCAAUUUGCAAGUUAGGUCCCAUGUGGAAAAAAUAGGGCCUGUUUGAAUGCAUUGAUAUCUUGUUUAAUGUGCUUCUUUCAUUUCCUUUAGCUGGCAUGUCGUAAUUGGUUGAUGCGGUGUUGUACUAAUGUCUACCGCAGUAUAAUAUAACUUACCUUUAAAUGAUUAAUAUGAUAAAUCACAUAACAGGUGGUACUUGCUAUGUGGAAAAGAUGGAAGAAUCAAAUAUUUCAUGAUAGUUAAGAAUGUAACUCGAAAGUGGUGAUCACAAAAGAAAAACAAAAAAUCACCAUACUACACCAGAUCUCAAUUGGAUGACAUGUUGUGGCAUCCAAAUAGACCCAAGUGUCGAAAUAAGUUUGAACGUCGAGUUCUCCUUGGACUACUAGAUGUUCUUUUCUUUACUGAUAACUGAUUUCUGUGUCUGCAGAGAGCACAAAGGAAAGCGUUGGACAUCCUUAAUACGGUGGGUCUGUCUAAUUCUGUCUUAAAGCUUAUUGAGAGGCGUCAUCGUGUAGACAAAUGGAUUGCUUAUGCCGGUAUGAUCAUUACGAUUGUGGUGGUAUAUGCAUUUUGGAGGUGGACACAUUGACUGUAAUUAUUAGUGUGAUAUCUGAGAGAACCAGCAAACAAUUGUUACUGAGGAUGGUACUCGGAAUAUUCAUUUGGACUUUCCAUUGGCCGAUUGUUGAAGUUGUAUCUUCGCAAAACUAGUCUUUAUAUGUAGGUUUUUAUCAUUUUUUUUUUGAAAAGGGUGACAUUGUAUAUGUUUGUGACCUUUUUCUUUGGGUUUUCUAGUGCAAUAGUCUUCUCCUAAAAUUUUAUUUUAAAAAUAGAUCUGUUUAAUUUUUAUUUAUAAAUAUGGUUAAAAGCGGUGAACUAUUCACCACAUUCUUUUUUUUUCUCACUUCUCAUUAUAUUUCUAUGAUAGUAAAAGCGGUGAAUGGUUCACCACUUUUAUUCUUUUUCUACUCCCAAUGAGGAGUUAUGAAUGCGGUGAAUCAUUCACCGCAUUUAGAGAUCUAUUUUUAUAAUUAAUUUUUAAAAAAAAUUUAUUUUUAUAAUUAUAAAAAUCAAUAGGAUUAUUUAUAAAAUUUUUUUUUUCCUUUUCCUUUUUCCCUUCCCUAGAGUAGGAAUUGGAUUGUAGACUUGCAACAUGCUAUUUGGGACUUACUAUUUAUUUGCACGGCAUGUGCAAGUUGGUUGAAGAUGUUGGGAAUCACCGUUGUAGCAAAGCAAAAGCGAAACGCAAAAGUCUAGACCUUACACCAUUAAGAAAGACAAGCAUGUAAGCAGCAGAGCGGGGAAGACAGCAGAUUUGUUGUUCCAAAUGUUUAAUCUUGUUUUUAUUUCAGUCAAGUUUCCAUCGAAUAUUGGACAUCAAUUAGUCUCGCACGGACCUGUAACAAUUGUAAAUAAUAAUUUUUUAAAAAAGCAGUGUCGACAACAAUUGUUGGAGAAGAAAAAAAUAGAAGUUACAUAGGUUGAUUCAGUAGAUAUAUACAGGUUGCUUCAGUAGAAAAAAAAGCAGUGUCGACAACAAGUCAUAAUUCUCAUCCGCUUUUAUGUUAUCUUUUCAUACAGGUGAUGUAUUCGAUGAUGAAGAGCAAAUAAUGGGGCAAAUCAACACUAACGUAGAAGUUAAAUAUCCCUAAAUUUUGUUAAUAACGUGUUUGAGGUGAAAAAAAAAAAUUAAAAAUGAUGAAUAGAAUGUUGAACUUGUAGAAUAUUAUUUUUGAUGUGUGUAUUAAGUAAACCUUAUAUAAAUAGUAUAAUAAUAAAAUGUUGUAUUGUUAUGUAAGCUUUAUUUUACUCAAAAAAGGAAGCAGAAUACUAUAGGAAUGUUGUCAAGAUAUUGUAUUUCGUUUGUCAUGUAAUAUUAUAUAAAUUAUAACUAUUACAUGCUGCUUCUAAUUCUGACACUUUACAUGUACGAAAAAAAUUUUGUCCAUGAAUUGGAUCUGUUACUCACCUAGUUGGGGCUUCAGCACGUCUAACGACAAGAAGAAGCAACGUGAAGCUGAAAAUAAUGUUGUCCCCACUUUUGAAAUGGUCGGCCCUUGAACAAUCAAUUGGACCAGCUAGAAACACUGAACAAGAUUGUUCUGGAAGUGGCAUUCUAGUGGUAUUACUCGCUUGAAGACGAAUCCAUCAAAAUUAAAGACUACAUGGAAGAAGCUUUUCUAGCUGAGUUCACUACAGUUGACGAUAAAAUCAAAAUAGCUACCCUAGUCGCUACCAAAAAGGACAAAGGCAAAUCAAUAUCAGACUAUUAUACAAAGGUAACAAAAUUUUAGUCUCAAAUGUCAAUGUUUUGCCGUAGAACCGUUAUUUAAUAAGUGAACUACGUGCAGUGAGUGGAUUAAUUUUGCUUACAAUGGAGUGCUGUGUCCGCGCACUAUAAUAAAUAGAUUGUAACAAUUUAUACUACAGGAGGAAUCAAACAGCAGAAUCCACCAUUCAAUGGUCACCUGCUUCAACAUAGAAAUUCGAUGAAAAGAGACAUUUGCAAACAGAAUACAAAAGACACAACAUAAAAGCUGGUCCCAAAAGGUAGAACUAUAGAAGCUACAGGGCCAAAAUUACACUACCCAGUACAGAGGAGCACCCCCAGUUCAAUUUGCAGCAGCCAUCACAAAAUAAGACGCCAUAAAGUAUAGAGUUUAUUCAAACUGGAGUCCUUAUAGCAGCAUUCAACAAACACCAACACCAAAAAGAAAACAACCGACUCAACAGCGCAAGAUCGAAACAGAACACAACUAAAGCUUGUAGACUGCUAACAUAGCAGGACACUAUAACCUAAUACACUGCCCAGAGCAAGACAUAGAGACAUAGUAACAGUAGUAAAAGACUUAAUACACUCCCAAGAGCAAGACAUAGCAGUAGUAUUAAUAGGAAUAGUAGUAGUAGAAGUUGACAAAUAUAUGCAAUCAUAUCACUCUUCCUCCUCAGACUCUGCCGUCUGUAGCCACUCAACAAAGGGCUUCACAUUCUUCAGCACCUGAGAGCUCUUGCCGCCAGCUGUCCCUUCCUCAUACCACUGUGCUAUGCUUUCUUCCUCCAGAACAUCCGCAUCAUAAAGUGCUUUGAGAACGAGUGCCACCUCCUUCAGGGCUUCUGCGCGGCACUUGCCACAAAAUACUUCGAUAGCUUGGAGCAAAAGCAGCUGAGAUGCCUCAUCCUGCACAAAAGCAGCAAUGUACUUCCUUUUCUUGCCCACCUCCUUUGCAAAUCCUUUGCCAACACCUCCAAAAAGAGCCUCAAAAAGGGCUGUCAUUACGUCCCGAGAAGGCUGACCUGCUGUACCCAGAAAACUCUGAAGCUGGUUUGGGGUAGAACCCUUGUUUAUAUGAUCCUUGAUCUCCCGAAGCAGUGAAUCAUAAGCACUGAUAUUGGCUUUGUCACCAUUUUGGGUAGCACAAGAUUUUUCUUCAUCUUUGAUCUUUCCAUUAGUGAGCCCCUCUUUCUUUGCCUUCUCUUGCUUUUUGUUAUCCUGCUCAGGCUCAGUGGCGGAGAGCAUCACCAUCUCCGAAGUCACAGCAUUAAGCUGUUCUUGAAUCCGCUGCUUUGCUGCCUCCAGUGAGGUGUCGGUUUGCCACUGGACAUCAUCAUCAUCAUGGUCAUCAUUAUCACCAGCAGCAUUAUCACCAUCUUGACUCUCAACAGGCGAAGCCGAACGAUCCUCAUCAGAACCACCACCAUUAGCUUUCUUCUUCGAAACACCAGCUUUUGCACCAGAGGCUUCCUUGGAAGAAGCACCACCUUUCUUCUUCACAUCCUUUUUCAGCUUCUUCUGCUCCUCAUCAGCAGCCUCCCCUUCCUUGAGCCGUUCCUUCUCAGCCCUCCUCAUUGCCUUCUUAUUAUCUUUUCCUCCCUUCUUUUGCUCAGGUGGGUUCUUAAGAAUGAAGGUUGUGAGCUUAUCCCUCAUAUCAACAUCAGACACAUACCCACAGGCAGCACAUUUCAGGGUAAUCAUCUGAGUCUUAGUGAUCACAAUUUCAGUCUCAGGGUUGCCACAUCCGUAGCACUGCACGUACUUCUUGAUGAAGUUCUCGAGAAGGCCAGCCAGCUUGGCAGUGUCAUGGGCUCCAUUCACUAGGGAAGUGCCAUUCUUCUCAUCGAACUUCGACUGCGCACCAAGCUCACAGCCAAAGUACUUGGUGGUGUAAGAGGCUGGCCUGGCUAGUGCUUUUGCAAUGUCCACCAUGUUCACAAUGUUGGUCUUGAUACCGUUUCCUCGGCCUUCAAUCUUCGUUACCAUCUUGGGCAUCUUGUACCUAUAAAAGGCAUCAUCGCUGUUCGAAGCACCAAUAUUUUGCAAAGCCAUAUUUGCUUCCUUCUUAGAGAAUGAGAAACUUGACACUAUAUAGGCAGCAAAAGUUAGCAGUGCUGUUUCAUUCGAGGAGGCCACGCAGCUGUGAGAUGUUGAUUACAGUAGCAACUACCAAACUUUUGCAGGAAUGCCAAAUGGACUCGUGAUGCAUGCAGCCAAAGAGACUCUCGUAGGAGAGUCGGAACCUUUUUCUUGAUGUAGGAGAAUACUCUCCAAGCAAUCCAAUUGAUCCAAAGUAAAGAGAGGCUUGCUCAGACAUAAAAGAAACUUCAAUGUUCACGGCUUCCACUUUGGCUAUGUGCUUGUAACAGAACAGUCUGGAGAUGCCAACUUCCUGAAUAAGAAUUAGACACAUUAAAUUAAUAUUAAUCGAUAUCCACAAGAUUGCGUAUGCAUGAAGAGUGACAAAAUGGGAAAAUAAAAAUUAUUCUGUCUGAGGUAUCAUUCCACUUAAUCAUUCUUCAAACCUCAAAUAAAAACAAAUGCAAAUAUGAGAAAAGCCACUAGCCCACUAGCAAUUCAAUUUAGUCCGGGAAAAUGUCGAAGUAUUAUGAAUCUUUAUUCCAUCAUUUCAUUACCAGAUUAGGUAUUUAUAAAUCCAAUAAAACAGUUCGACCACAUAAUAGUAAUUAUGUUAUAUGUAGUGGUUAAAUGUCUUCUGAAACAAAUUAAUUCAUUGUAUAAAUAACAAAGGAAAGGGUUAUUCUAAUGAUAUAUAAUUAUGUUCUAUGUCAUUAUAAAAAGUGCGGUUUCUAGCUGUUAGGUAGCCACUAUUAAUGAAAAUGCUUAGUUUGCUUCGAUAAUUGAGAUGACGAACUCUAAGCCUUUCAACUUUUCCUAGUAAACUUUGUCUUCUUUAAGCUUUGCACCAUCAAAACUGUUUAGCAUUUUAUGAACAUGUUUUUCUUCAUUAUUGCAGUGAACAAGUGAAGGACAGAUUUCUACUUCACUUUUUCUUUUCAUCCAAGGUCCUUUUGUGUUGAUUUACAAAUCGAUAACUUCAUGCGCGUAAUUUAAAAGCGUAUAAACCUUAGCCAAUCAAUCAGCCUUCCCUGAGACCCAAGUAGAUUAGUAUGUAAAUAUAUAACUACUGACAUCAUAAGACAAAUCUACAAACAAGAUAAUACUUGAUGUUAUAAGAAGAGAGUCUUCCGACUGCAUGAACAAUCCACGAUAAUCAAAUUGCAAGUCCAACACAAGAAUUCAAAGUGCAGUUCAUGCGUUAGACUUAACCAUACGCCCGACCUCCAACCCAUAAAUAAUAAGUAGCAAUCACAUUAUCAGGUUUGAACUUAACACAGCCUAAGACACAAUUCUAGUGUCGAGCUUAAUUAGAGACAUGGGCUUGGCACAUGCAAAGUUUUACCUUGGAAGAAAUUCACAUGUAAUAUCUAUUUGGGAAAGGGAAGUGGAAGAGAUGAUCAACCUAAGAACAAUUGAGCACCCAUAAUAUCUCUAUAAGAAGACAGGAUAAAACCCUAGCUCAGAAAAAAUUGCAUAAAAUCACAUAUUAAAAUAACACAUAUCAUAACUACAAGAUCCGAUGAGAUCGUUUCCGAAUCAAAACACGAGGAGAGGCAAAAAAAAAAGAAAAAAAAAAUCAAAUCAAAUCAAAUCAAAACCAGAUCGAACAAGAUCGGAAGAACUCGUAACGGUGAAAAUCGAUCAACCUAUCGAUCGAUCGAUCGCUCGCUCGCUCGCUAGCUACAAGAAGAGAAAAAUUUGAACGUGUAUUCCAUUUGGGAAAGGGAAGAGGAAGAGAUGAUCACCGCGAUUGGGUUGCUUCGCCGCAGAGAGCUCCUCAGAUUUAACCUUUCCUCUUUCUUCGAUGUGGAGGAAACGAAGAGAGAGAGGGGGGCGGCGGGGUAGUAUUUAUAGCAAGGAGAAGGGGAUCGGAAGGUAACCCUUGUGUCUCAUGGUUCAGAUUUUAGGGCACCACUUACAUUAGUUUGCCCGCAAUUUGCCUUUGAAUUACCUUUUUGCCCCUCCAAAGGCGGUAGCAGCAGCCGCUGCUCAUAGGGGUGUAAACGAGCCGAACACGCCCAGUAAAAUAUCGACUCGAAAAAUUCAGCUCGUGUUCGGUUCGUUAAUAAACGAGCUGAACAUAAGCUGGCUCACGAGCUGACCAACGACCAAUAAGUUAAUAAGGAUUAGAUUGAAUAUGCAUAAAAAUAUAAAUUUAUAAAAUCUUAUCUAUUAAACUUUGAUCUAAUAAUUGAAACUUUACAUAUAAAUAAGUUUUUUUAUAAUUAAACUUUUAUUUAUAUUUUUAUUUUACUAAAAAUUAAAUAAUAAAAUUAUAUCUUAUAUAUAAUAUUUAUUUAUAUAUAAAAAUAUAAAUUAAAUUAAUUAUAUAAAUAUAAAAUAUAUGUAUUCGAGCUGUUAUCGUGCCAAACACGAGCGAGCUUAUCCCAGCUCGUAUUCGGCUCGUUUAUUAAACGAGNCUUGUUUAUUAAAUGAGUUGAAAAAUUCAGCUUAUGUUCGGCUCGUUUACUAAACGAACGAUUCGAUCUCAAGCUCAUUUUGAGUCGAACACGAGCUGGCUCACGAACAACGAGCUAGAUUGCCACCCCUAGACACAGGGGGUGUUUGGCCUAAAUUUUAAAAAGUGUUUUUGAGUUGAAAAGUGAUUUUCGGCUCAAUAGAGCGUUCGACAUCUUCAUUUUUAAAAUCUAAUUCUGCUUCUAAGAAUCAGAAAACUGAUUUGAAGGCCGCAGAAUCAAAAGUGCCGGAAGGUCAAGGAAGUUGGUAACCUGAUGACAGGGGAGCCGGCGACUGAAGCCUCGGUGAACGGCGGCCGUAACUAUAACGGUCCUAAGGUAGCGAAAUUCCUUGUCGGGUAAGUUCCGACCCGCACGAAAAGCAUAACGAUCUGGGCAUUGUCUCGGAGAGAGGCUCGGUGAAAUAGACAUGUCUGUGAAGAUGCGGACUACCUGCACCUGGACAGAAAGACCCUAUGAAGCUUUACUGUUCCCUAGGAUUGGCUUUGGGCCUUUCCUGCGCAGCUUAGGUGGAAGGCGAAGAAGGCCCCUCCGGAGUCAUACUUCCUUCACCUAAACUAGAACUUGAUUUAGCGGCUCUUUCCAAAAGGCGUGAAUGUAAAUAAAAAACAUCUCCUGGAUAAGCUUCACGACCGGGAGGUCUUCUUAAUAGAAGAGACAUUUGGCGAUAAGCUUGUACUUGUUUGGAGAGAUCAUCAUAAGCCCAUGCUAAAGUUUCAAACAAUUCUUGUCAAUAUCCACACCAUUAAAUUAAGAGCUGCUUCUUAAAAUCUAAUUAUGAUUUUAGAAUCAAACGUCAAAUUUUUAUUUUAAUUUAAAUUCAAUGUUUAAAUUUAAAUUUAACUUUAAAUUUUAAUUUUCAAAUUUAUUUUUAAAUUUUUAAAUUUUAAACUUUAAAUUUUAAAAAAUAGAUUUCAAACUUUAAAUAUUAAAUUUUAAUUUUAAAUAUCAAAUCUAAAAUUUUAAAUUUCAAAUUUCAAAUUUUAGAUUAAAUUUAAAUUUUAACAUUUUAGAUUUUAAAAUUUAAAUUUUAAAAUUUAAAAAUUUUAAAAUUUAAAUUACAAGUUUUAAUCUUCAAAUUAUAAAUUUCAAAUUUUUAAAAUUUAAAAUAAAUAUUUUUAAAUUUUAAAUUUAAAUAUUAAAAUUUUAAAUAUUAAAAUUUUAAAUUUUAUAUUUUAAAUUUAAUAAUUAUGUUAUAUUUUAAAUUUCAUAAUUAUUUUAAAUUUAAAUUUUCAAUUUUUAAUUUUUAAAUUUCAAAUUUUAAAUUUUAAAUUUUAAAUUUAAAUUUAUAUUUUUAAAUAUUAAAAUUUUAUAUUUUUAAUUUCAUAAUUAUNAAAUUAAAUUUAUAUUUAUAUUUUUAAAAUUUUAAAUUUUAAAUUUUAAAUUUUUUAAAUUAAAAUAUCUAAUUUUAAAUUUUGUAUAAUUUUAAAAUUUUAAAAUUUUAAUUUUAAUUCAAAUUUAAAUUUAGAUUUUAAAUUAUUUUAAAAUAAAAUUUAAUAAAAAUAUUAAUUUAUACAAACAUCAAAAAAAUUUUGCCAAAUAGAUUUUCAAAAUCACUUCAAAAAAAUCGCUUUUGUCUAAACUCAGCAAAACGCUCUACAGCAUUUAGCCAAAAUAACUUCUCCAAACUAUGGGCCUCUUUGGCCUAACUUCUGGAGAAGUGAUUUAUGUAAAAGUGAUUUUGGUUUGGAGAAAGAUUUGGAGAAUUGAUUUUGGUGAAAAGCUGUAGAGCGUUUGGUUGAAUUUAGAAAAAAAUGAUUGUUCUGAACUGAUUUUCUAAAGCUGUUUGGCAAAAAAUUUUUGAUGUUUGCAUAUAUUAAUAUUUUUACUAAAUUUUAUUUUAAAAUAAUUUAAAAUUUCAAUUUAAAUUAAAAUUUUAAAUUUAAUUAAAAGUAUAAUUUUUAAGUUUCAAACUUGUACAAAAAUAAAUUUGAAAUUUCAAAAUUUUAAAUUUAAAAUCUAAAUUUUAAAAUCUAAAUUUAAAUUUUCAAAUUUAAAAUUUAAAAUAUAAAAUUUAAAAUUUAAAAUAUAAAAUUUAAAAUUUAAAAUUUAAAAUUUAAAAUUUAAAAUUUAAAAUUUAAAAUUUAAAAUUUAAAAUUUAAAAUUUAAAAUUUAAAAUUUAAAAUUUAAAAUUUUUAAAUUUAAAAUUUAAAAUUUAAAAUUUAAAAUUUAAAAUUUAAAAUUUAAAAUUUAAAAUUUAAAAUUUUGAAAUUUAAAAUUUAAAUUUUAAAAUUUCAAAUUUUGAGAUUUGAAACUUAAAUUUUAAAUUUUAAAUGUAAAUUUUAAAUUUUAAAUUUGAAAAGUUGAGAUUUAAAAAUUCAAAUAUGAAUUUAAAAUUUCAAAAUUUAAAUUUAAUGUUAAAUUUAUACUUUGAAUCUAAAAUAAAAAUAAAAGUUAGAAGUUCGAGUUCAAAAUCAGAAUCAGUUUUGGAGAAGCAGCUUUUUUUUGCUUCUGAUUCUGGAGCCUUCAAAAUCAGUUUUCUGAUUCUAAAAAGCAGAAUCAGAUUUUCAGAAUGUUAUUCUCAAACACUCUACUGAGCUCAAAAGUAAUUUUGGGCUUAGAAUCACUUUUGAAUAGCUAGGCCAAACACCCCCUAAAAUUACUUUUUCAGAAAUCACUUUUUUAGAAGCUAGGCCAAACGGGCCCACUAUUCACUUCAACCUGAAUCCGCCAAACCGAAUCGGACUCGUUUACAAAUUUAAAAUUAAAAUUUUUUGAAUAAAUUAAUUUAACUAAUUUUUUUGAUAAUUAAGUAUAGUACUUAAGUAUCCACAUGUUCCGGUGGGUCGAUUUGUAAGAGAAGACGAAGAAGGAAGCAACAACGAUGAUAAAAAAAAAAAAAAAACAGUAAACGCAUAAUAAAAAGUAUUAUAAAAAAAUAAAAAAUAAAAAAUAAAAGAUGAAUACAAAUCAAAAGUGUCAUCAGUUACAAGUAUAAAUUAUUUUAGAGAUAAAGUUCAUAGGAGAAAUAAAGAUAUGAAAAAGAUAUUAUAUGAAUAUGACCUAAAACCGUUGCCUUUUUAUCAAUAAUUUUAGAAAAAUAAAUAAUUUGUUAAACACCAUAAGAAAUAAAAUCUUGUAGUGUUAAUUAGGUGCAUGAUGGUCGAACAAGCAUCCACUGCAACUAACAUUAGAUUCAUACUCAAGUUCCAAAGUACAACCAUCUGUAAAUAAUGGCGAAAGCACCGUAAGAAAUCAACAUGACAAAGAAAGGUUAGAAAAAGUAACUAAAGAAAAAAAAUGAUCAAUUAGUAGUAAUAACAACACCAACAGUAGUGAACAAACUAAAUAAAAAAAGAUGGAAAGGAGUUAGCACAAAAAGGUGUAAUAGAAAGUAGAGUCUCUCUACAAAACUGUCGACAUAGUAGCAAGAAUCAGACUGCAGAGAAUAAUACAUCAGCAGCUUGGACAAUAGGUAAGUUCUAUGUAGUCAAAAUUUAGCCAAGUGUGCUGCAACAAUUGCAUGAAGAAUGACCAGAACUACAAAAGUAUGAAAGAAGUUAAGAAGAAACUACAACUAUAACAAAAAGAAGAAAAAGAAGAAAAAGGAGCAAGAGUAGCAGAAACAAUAGUAAAGCACUAAAUAGAAAUAAAAUACCAAACAAUAGCGUAGGCAUACCAACAUAAAUUCGAUAUGCAGUAGAAACAAACGAGGAAGAAAAGUGAAUAUAAAAGCAGAAAAAGCUAUAGCAAUUUUAUUGAAAAUUAGAUUAUAAAAUUUUUGAGUAUUGUAAUGCCAUACUUAUAAGAUAAACAGUAAAGUUAUUUGUAAUAUUAUCAAUUAUGAUGAAUGAAAUCAAAAUGACCAAUAUCAAACUUCGAGAUUUGAUUGAACGAAAAAAAGGUUAGUACAUAAACACUACUAGUUGAAAUUUGCAGAAAGUAAGAAAUUUUGCAAUGCUAACAGAAAGCACAUAUUAAUGCCCAAGAAUAUAUGCUUCAAGCUACAUAGGGAACCAAUAGCAAUAGAUGCAUAAGAAGAACAAAAAAACUAGGUGCAGCACAAGAAGAAGCAACAACAGCCUUAGUGUUAGAAGUAGUAGUAGCCCCGGUAUUAGCAGUCAUAGCAACAAUUUAGUCAGCGAUGAAUGGAGAAGCUAUGGAAAAGAAAGAACAAUAAUUACACAAAUUUACCGACCGUCCCUAGAGCAAGUGGCAAAGGGCUUGGUGGUUGGUAUCCGAGACCCAAGUUCGAAUCCUAGUUGAUUCACAUUUUCAGCUAAGUUUAUUUCUAAAUAAAAUAAACGAAGCAGGUAGCAUGCUACCUAUCUCUCAAAAAAAAAAAAAAAAAAACACAAAUUUCUGAUUUCUGUUUAUUGAUUUUAGUUGUUUGUAAUAUUAAAGUUUACAAAAGUUUAACAAAUCGAGUAGAAAAAAAAGUGGUUAAAAUUAAAUCGGAAGGUGGAUUGUGUCAUUAUCUCUUCCACACACAUUUUACUUCGCAAUUUCUGUGGAAUAACAGUUGUAAGAGCUGCCAUUUGGCCAUUAGAUUUGUAUUACUAUUUAAACUUCUUUGGCCUUUUUAUUCAAACAGAAAAUUUGUUGUAUACUAUAAAGAUUAGAUCUCCCAGUAUUGCGUAAGUGCAUCAUAGGUAAGGAAGCAUCUAUUGCAGCUGUCGAGCCUGGAGAUUCAAAUCAACAACAGAAAUGACUUUUGGCAGAAACUAAAAUAUUUUGUAAGGUAAAUUUUACUAUAUAUUCAUUCAUAGUCUUUUAUAAGGCGGGUUUAUGGGUUUGUUGGUUUAUAUGGUGAUUUUAGUAGAUUGUGAACCCAAUCCCUUACCAAAUUGAACUUUGAAANGAAUUAACUAACUAUGCUCAUCGCUUGAACCUGAAUUAUUUUCCGAUCGAUACGGUUCAAUUUUAAAAAGUAAAAUAAAAAAAAAAUCAAAUAAGCUGAAUUAAAAAAUUAAAUUAUUAGCUAUUAUUAUUUUUGAAUAGAGUAAUAAAAUAAAAUGUACCAUACUUAUAAGUUCUAAUUUAAUUUUUAAAAAAAUUAUAUUAUUAAAAUCAAAUAAACUAAAGCAAACCAAAAUUAUUUGGUUUAGCAUCCAAUUCAGCUUUAUUCAAUUAUUAAAAAAAAAACCUAAAAAUUGAAACGUAUUUAGACAGCAACUAGUUAGGAAAAUUUUCUUUAUAAGCGUUUAGGAUUCAAACAACUCUAUUGUACAUCUUUGAGAUUUGAAAAGUCUAAAAAUGAAUAAUAGAAUAAAUUUAUUGCAACUAGUUUUGGUUCACGCUUCGCUACGGAUCGAUAGUAUUUGUAAUACUCGUAUCCAAUUAAAAUUUAAAUAUGCAGGUAUGAUUGUAGUUUUGUGAUAAACCUGUCAUUAAUAUUUUUUUGAUUUAUUUGUACCGUCGGAUUAAGCGGAUUUGAUUGGAUUUGAUUUUCAGAUUAAUUAUACUCUAAUACUAGUUAGAGUAUGAUUUAGAUUUAGCCCUAAUUAAUCACCUAUAAAUAGGUAAUUUAGGGAGAGUGUACGACCAAAAUAAUAAUAAUAAUAAAUAUUGUGGCCGGAUUCUUUGUCCAAGCGUGGCCGCCAGCGGGAGCAAGAUCCGACGAUCGUGGAGGAGAGAUAAAAAGAGCGAGAGCGAGGCGAGUCUCCAAUAAUUAGUUCUCUAGUUUUUUUUUCUCUCUCUUUUCUUUCUUCUUCUACCUCACCAUCUUAUCCUCUCUUCUCGUUGUACCGCCACCACCGUCGCCGGAGUGGUCGCCGGCCACCUGUAGUGGAUUCAGGUGAACCCUGUAUGGGGUGACCAUGGUUGGUCAUAAGAGGUGUCACGCCCCGCGACCAACCACCAAUUUGGACCGGGUAGCGGCGCCGCUAACAGACCGCCGAACGGACCGGGGUUUCCCCUGUACGCGGACAGAGUCUCCCCUGUACGUUCUAGGCGUCACAAUCCAAACAAUACAACGAGUGUUCCAACUAGGAACGGAUAACAAUCCAGAUUGCAAAGGAAGUAUCAAAUACAUAAAACUAACAGCUAUUACAAGCAUUCAUUCACAUUCACUUAGUACACCUCAGUUCAGUUUACAUUUUUACUUCCAAUUACAAUCACAUUAUUACGUCAUUUAAUUUACAAGUUUGAUACGUCUUGGUUCUUGCCUUCUAGUCCCCUAAGCUAGACUGCCUCAAGGNNNNNNNNNNNNNNNNNNNNNNNNNNNNNNNNNNNNNNNNNNNNNNNNNNNNNNNNNNNNNNNNNNNNNNNNNNNNNNNNNNNNNNNNNNNNNNNNNNNNGGUCUGGCAUUGGGAUUUUGGCGAGAUUUAGCUGCAGUUUAUUAUGAUCUUAAUGAUUGUAUUGGUCAGCUAACUAAUUGCCUAGGUCUCUAAACGCGGUCGGCGAAGACAGGUUUGCGUGGCACAGAGGGCGGGGGUUGCGGUUAUCGCGAGUCGGGUAUCGAGGUCGCUUCGCCGAGGAGUGUGAAGCCGCGUGCAAAGAUCGCAACAUCGAGUUAUCUAUUGGUUCGGCCGCUCGCAUAGGUGGGGUAGGAUGUCCAUCGCGAAGCUGGGCUCCUUCUUAGUCUUAGUACCACACUGUCGCAUAUCUGGACUCUUGUAUUUUUGCUCUAUAGGAACUUAUCAUGUGUUGCCUUAUCUUCUGCGCAUCCUUCGUCGAUGGCUAUCGAGCGUAAUUGGAUAUUUGUAUCAUUGGAUUGAUAAGGAUUUGGUCCUGAUUUGUGAUUAUAUGUAAAGGAAAUCGAUGAACUCAUAGAGUGAGGGGCAUCUAGUCAAUUAGUCAACCAUGACGGUGGCAUCUAGUGUAUCACACACACCAGCGAACAAACGCGACAAUCAUAGUUAAAUAGGAGGGUAAUGUGACAGCCUUAUGCGGACUGAUAUGAUAGACUGUGACUCUAGGAGACAGGGUAAUCCUCGAGCUUAGAGAGAUUUGUGAUCAUGUCACGAGUCUGAUUAAUUUGUGAGUGGGCAAGCCCACACAGGUAGGUGCGGUCCGGAUGUUGGGUCACGCGGGAUUAGGCCUAAUAUGGGCCCGCCAGCGGUCUCGCGAGUCCGGUAUGUGUCGAGGCGUUGAUGGUGCCCUGUAGCGUCGGAUCGGGGCUAGGUGAGACUGGGCGAGCUCGGGUAAGCGAUCAGAGGAUUAAUUGAACAGGUAAACAUGAUGGUUAUGGAACGAAGUGAAAGGGCUUCACCUUUGGACUUGAUGACAAGUUAAGUUGCGUUACCCAGAUUACACUUGGUCAUGCAUGCAUAGAUUAUGUUGAUGUAGAAUAGCUGUCAUUGUCGUUCGUUAGGCCCCCCCCCGCCGCGCACCACCUAUAUAUCUAUCUAUCUGUCUAUCCAUCUAUUGGUAUAUCUACUUGUGCCCGCUUGGACCUAGUGGGGAGAUCGGCGGAGUCGGCGGCCGAACCCACUGGGAACUAAGGAAGUUAGUUCUCACCCCCAUUUUUACCACAGGUUCCAGUUCGGGUGUCCCCGGUGAGCGUGAGGAUCGCGGUAAGGGCCCGGCGUUUUAGUAGCAUUAGCUACCUUCCUUUUUGCACUAGCCGUCACCCUUUUAUAUUUGAGAGUAGAUGAUGUAUAGGGUGAGGUUCGAGUGAUUGUAUUUAUAUUUUGGAAGAAUGUAAAAGAUGUAAUUGAAUGUAUUGAGUCAAAUGAAUGUAAUAGAUAGCUCUUCUCUCUUAUGUACUUGUAUAUGUUUCUAUACUUGUAUCUUGCUCUCGUCUUAUUAGCACUUGUUGUGCUCUUGUGAUUGUGUACUUAUGAGUUGAUUCCUGGGUAAACUCUUGUACAUGAUCGUUUGCUUAGCCUUGGGCGGACAGGGGAGACUCUGUCCGUUCGGCGUCUGUUCGACGCGCCCGGGCCCGAACCAAAUUGGUAGCGGUCGCGGGGCGUGACAGAAACCGAUACCAAUUUGGUCCAGUUCGGGCGCGUCGAACAGACGCCGAACGGACAGCACCUCCCCUGUCCGCCCAAGGCCAACAGCGAGAUCAUGUAAAACAAGUUCCUAGGAAAUCACUUGAAUACAUACAUGAUCACAUAACAACUAUGAGGGGAGCAGAAUCAGUGCUAAACAACUAAGAGCAAGAUACAAGUAUAGAACAUACGAGUAAUAAUAAAGAGAGAAGAGGCUAUCUAUUACAUUCAUUCAGCCUUUAUAAUACAACUUGAUUAUGCAUUAAGCUUCUAAACAUAAUAUAAAGCUUACAUCUUCUAAAAUAUAAACAUUAGCUUACAUUCAUCCCAAAAUAGCUCACAACCUAUACAUCAUCUACUCUCAAUGUAUAUAAAGGUAACUCUAGUGCAGAAAUAGGAAAGUAAACUAAUGCAACUAGGGCGCUAGGCCCUUACCGCGAUCCUCACCGCGUGAACUCGCGCUCGGCCCUGUAGUAAAAUGGGGGUGAGAACUAACUUCCUUAGUUCCCAGUGGGUUCGGCCGCCGACUCCGCCGAUCUCCCCACUAGGUCCAAGUGGGCACCAGUAGAUAAUUGAUAGAUAGAUAGAUAAGGAAAGCGGUAAAUGACAGAAGUAAAGGUACUCUACUAUGCCCAAUCAUAAAUAUAUGAAUGCAUGUACAAUGAAAUAGGUAAGCAACUAACCCAUUACCAUGUCCAAAGGUAAAGUCAUUUACUCGUUCAUCAAUCUUAUUUACUUGUUUCUUAAUCUCGUGGCUUCCCUGAAGGAGCCUACAGCUCACUAGCCAUCUCGAAGGUAGGGAGGGUCAACUCGCACUACGAACCGAGACCGUCUGCCGGGGCCUAAAAUAGGCAAUCCCUUGGGACCCAAACUAGGCAAUCCCACGUGACCAACUCCGGAGCGCACUACUUGUGUGGGGCUUCCAUCACAAGAUUUAAAACAGACCGUGAGCAUGAUCCAAUCCUCGUCUCGAGAAUACCCUAUCCUUUAGGGGUACAAUCAUCAUAUAGUCCAUAGGUUUCACAUACACUAUGACUCAUAUGUGUCAUUUGUUCUUUUGCUUACUAGCAACUAAAUGCCACUUGUUCAUUUGUUUGCUAUCGACUAGAUGCCACUCGUUCUUUGUUUAACAUUAGACCAACCGUCGAGCCCAUCUCUUUCUCUGCACUAUAGGAUUCACAAGUCUCGACCCAAUCCUUAUCGAUCCACUACUAUGUCAAGUAUCCAAUACAUGCUACGAUAUCAUCAAAGAAAGCAUAAGGAAAGGCAGUGCACAAUCAUCCUAUAAUGCAAUAAUACAAGAUGCAAGAAUCGACAUGUACUAAGACAUAGAAGGGAGCCCGAUUGCUUCGGGAUGGACACCACCCACCUUUUAUAGCGUUCCGAUUGCUCGUCGUCACUCGCAAUCGGCCUCCCGCGGCGCACGCCGCUUGGCUCGACCCAAUCCGCGCGCGCGACCACCAAACGACCUCCGAUCCGCGAUCCGAAAAUUAAAGGUCUUUGGUUUCCUAUUACGAUGCUUCAAAUCCGUUUCCAGGAUUUUACAACGUCGCCUCGGCCCUCCAGGCAGAAACGAAGCCUAAACGUCCGUUUCUUUAAUAACUUUGCACCGGCUAGACGAAUCGCCGAACCGUCGCUUCCAACGCGUUCAGUGACCUAUCAAUUAGGUUUCCAGAGGGUUAAAUGAGAUCAAACCCUCAUAUUUUCAAAAAUUGCAUUUCAAGCCCUAGGUUUAUAACUAGGUAAGAAUUAAUUAAAUUGAUCCUAGAUUCUAGCAAUAAUCAUCUAUUUAGCAUGCUAGAAUAGCUCUAAAUCCAUUCUUGAAGCUUAAAACCCAAACUACAAAGAGAUACCAUUAAAGGGUUUUGAAGCUUACCUUCAAACCAUGCUCCAAUGGAGAGGAAGAAGAUGGAGAAGAUGGAAAUCCACCUUAGAGCUUCAAUCUCCACCAAAAUCAUCUCUUUUUGGGAGAGAUUUAGAGAGAGAAAGGAGAGCUUUCUCCUUUCCCUUCCAUGCGUGUAUGGGUGUGUGUGUGUGUGUCGGUUUGGGGCUGCUACGGCUGAGGAAGAAAGGGAUUUGAUCCCUUUUUACGAGUUAGCCCCUCAACUAUGCAAUCCUUCAAUUUAGUCCCUAAAUCUGAUAAGUUUCGUUGGAGCCCUUCUGGAUGUCCGAUUGAGCUCAAAUUUGACAGGCAUGCUCAGUUUAACGUACUGAGCAAGAAUAUAUCUUAAGUUUUCAGUUUCGACCCCGUUUGGUCACCGAAAACUGUGCCGAACUGCAAUCUUUAUCAGAUAGCCUUCGGAUUUUAUUUCUCACUCUACGGGUGUCAGAAAAAUAUGAAACCUUAAAUCUAGCCUCAUAAAAAUAUUCCUGACUUAUUCUCUAAUUUUCAUAAUUUUCUGAGACUGCAUUUUCUGCUAAUUUUUCUGUCCCGUUUCCAACAGAAAAUUUCAGAUCUUCUGUUUUCAUCCCGAUUUCAGCACAAGUCACUUCUGACUUAUGUUUUACUUCUCUAAAUCCAAUAAAAUAGUAUCUCAUACUAUUUUUAUUUAUUUAUUUAUUUUUUAUUUUUAUAUUUAAAUCCGGUAUGUUACAUUACACCGCAACCUUCCCGGAACCAUUCAAAUGGCUCUCCAACCAAAUGGACACCGUAACCUCAUGAUUUUCGAAGUCCGAUACCCUACAUCCUCCCCUCCUUAAAAAGAGUUUCGUCCUCGAAACGAACUCAAUAUUGCAAAACUUAUUUAGAACUUUAAAUUCUAAACUCAUACCUUGACUUAAUCCUCGAACAAGUGAGCAUGAUUCGCCUUCAUCUCCUCCUCAAGCUCCCAGGUGGCUUCGCGAUCGUCAUGAUUGCUCCACCGAACUCGGACAUAAGGAAUUUUCCGAUUCCUUAACUUGCGCACUUCACGAGCAGUAAUCGCCACCGGAAACUCCUCAUAACUUAGGUCUUCCUGAAGCUCCGGUGGUUCGUAUAACAUUGCAUGCUCGGGAUCAGGUAUGUACUUGCGCAAAUUGGAGACGUGGAACACGUUGUGCACAUCCGCUAGUUUUGGAGGCAACGCGAGCCGAUAAGCCACCAUUCCAAUCCGUUCCAAGAUCUCAUAGGGGCCAAUAUAUCGGGGACUUAAUUUUCCCCGAACUCCAAAUCGCUUAACGCCCCUCAUAGGCGAAACCUUCAAGAAAACGCGGUCGCCCACCGCGAAUUCCAAAUCCCGUCGGCGCCUAUCCGCGUAGCUCUGUUGUCGAGAUUGCGCAGAGAGUAACCGCUUCCGAGCAAGGCGGACCUUUUCUUCCGCCUCCCGCAACACAUCGGGGCCAAAUUCCGUGCGCUCGCCCACGUCACUCCAAUAAAUAGGAGAGCGGCACUUCCGCCCAUAAAGAGCUUCGAACGGUGCCAUCUCCACGCUAGCGUGAUAACUGUUGUUGUAGGCGAAUUCGGCCAUUGGCAAAUACUUACACCAACCUCCUUUGUAAUCGAUGACACACGCUCGCAACAUAUCCUCCAGAGUCUGAAUAGUCCUCUCGAUUUGUCCGUCUGUCUGGGGAUGGAAUGCAGUGCUAAAAUCGAGCCAUGUGCCAAGGGCCUCCUGUAGGCUUUUCCAGAAAUGUGAAGUGAACUUGGGGUCUCUAUCCGACACAAUCGAUUUCGGCACCCCGUGCAACCUCACUACCUCGUCAAGAUAUACCCCACGUGUGACGCUCUAGAUGUGACUGGUGUUUUCAGACUUUAUAGAUAAAUGGGUCUUCCUCAAUUUGUACGCCGUCUCCGCCACCGAUCUCGAUAAUUUCCUAAUGCUACAGCUGUAAGAGAUGGUGGGACCGUUUCGUUUACACCAACGCCUACGCAAAUCGUCCUUCAGCCGCUUCUUGGAGCGAAAACUACAAUGGGCCGUUUGUGGGGAUCCCGACCUCUACCUCGCUGACCUGGAGCUUCACCAGCGAGGGCUCCAGGGCCGAGUCGACUACCGCGAGCAAUAAGUUGGCUGGAAUAACCUCUCCUAGUCUUUAAACGUUGGACGUCUAGGCUCAGAGGUUUUCCACGCCGCGUUGUAGCUCCUUCCUGCUCUACCGNUAAAGUCACACCUGCGGCCACCGCGCGAGGCCAAAGCUUUGGCCACCACGCACGGGCUCUUACUUCUCGAAGCGCUCAACUAGAACGUCCUUCGGGUGGCCAGAGGUAUGCGCCUAGUGGGCCCGCCGUGGUUCUACAUAGUACUCAAUUCUCGUGAGAUAACCACCGGCCCCUACUAUCGACUAUAACCCGCGAAGCACCGCUUCACAAACUGAACAGUCGUUCACUUUCGCCUCGCGGCCAAAGGUCGCCCUUUCGAAGUUUCAGAUGGAUAAGGACAGACCUUUACCCUCCUAUAUAGAUACCUAAAGUAGCAACCGAAUGGAGCGAGCUGUCCCCCUGUGCUGCGUUAGACCCACUAACACCUAGCGAACUGCUUCAGUCGCGUGAAAAAUGGCUAGGUGUGGUGGACCCGCCCUCUAUUCAACCGCGUNGGUAGUGCCUCCACAACUUCAGCGCAAAGAUCACCGCCGCCAACUCCAAGUCAUGGAUGGGGUAGUUCUUCUCGUGGUCCUUCAGCUGACGGGAUGCAUAAGCUAUCACCCUCCCGCCUUGCAUCAGAACACACCCCAAGCCCAGAUAGGAUGCAUCGCUAUAGACCACAAAGUUCUCGCCCUGCACUGGUAAGGCGAGUAUCGGAGCCGACGUCAAUCUUUUCUUCAAUUCGUUGAAGCUUUGAUCACACUCGUCGCUCCAAAUGAACUUGACGCCCUUCUGAGUCAAACCGGUAAGUGGAGUUACAAUUUUCGAAAAGCCCUCCACAAACCGUCGAUAAUAGCCCGCUUAGCCCACAAAGCUUCGGACCUCCGUGACGUUUGUCGGGCGUGGCCAAUUCUCGACCGCUUCGACUUUCCUCGGGUCAACCGAAACACCGCCCUCGAAAAUCACAUGCCCCAAGAAGGCAACCUCUCGAUGCCAGAAAUCGCAUUUCUUUAGCUUUGCGAAUAGCUUCUCCUCCCGAAGGAUUUGAAGCACUAUCCGCAAAUGCUCCGCGUGUUCCUCAUCGUUUCGCGAAUAGAUCAAGAUGUCGUCUAUGAAAACCACGACAAAUCGGUCCAAGCACGUUUUAAACACACGGUUCAUUAGGUCCAUGAACGCUGCCGGGGCAUUUGUGAGCCCGAAAGGCAUAACCGUGUACUCAUAGUGUCCAUAACGUGUACGAAAUGCGGUCUUCUGAAUAUCCUCCGACUUAAUCUUUAACUGAUGGUAGCCGGAUUGUAGAUCUAUCUUCGAGUACACUCGUGACCCCUGUAACUGAUCAAAUAAAUCAUCGAUUCGGGGCAACGGGUACUUAUUCUUUAUCGUGACCCUAUUCAACUCUCGAUAGUCCACGCAGAGUCGAAAUGAGCCAUUCUUCUUGCGCACGAACAACACCGGCGCUCCCCACGGCGAUACGCUCGGCCGGAUAAACCCUUUGUCGAGAAGAUCUUGUAACUGGUCCCUCAAUUCCCUUAACUCUGCCGGCGCCAUACGAUAUGGGGCUUUCGAGAUUGGCGUCGUCUUCCGAAUCAAGUCUAUAACGAACUCGAUCUCCCGAUCCGGCGGCAUCCCCGGUAACUCCGUGGGAAAUACAUCCGGAAAUUCCCGCACCACCGAUAAAUCCUCUAAUUUCGGCACCACCCGGUCCACCUCCACGACGGUUGCCAAAAAUGCUACGCAGCCGCCGUUGACCAACUUCCUAGCUCUCGUCGCCGAUACUGUCGCGACGAAGCAAGAACUCCGACAAGCUCGAUAAACGACCUCCUUCUGUCCUGGCUCCCGAAAGGUGAUCGAUUUAUUCUUACAAUCGAUCGUGGCAUAAUACUUUGAGAGCCAGUCCAUGCCCAAAAUGACGUCAUACGCCUCCAGUUUAGUGAGUUCCAACAUCCGGAUGGGCAUCAUCCAGUCACCUACUUGUACUAGGCAUGACGAGCACUCCGUGUAGGUAUUAAACGACGAUUCAGGACCCUCGACUCGCCACUUGCCACUUGCUUCUAUGGGUAUGUCAUGCAUGCGUGGCACCCGUAUCGAACAUAGCUCUGGAGCGAACUCCAUUGAUUAGAACCAUACCUGCUACAACAUCAGGCUCCUCGGCUUGGGCGGGCCCCUCAGCAUGGGCUUGAGCGGCGAAUACCCGUCCGCUCGGCGCUGAUCGAGUCACCUCCGGCUGGUGCGGCGCCAGUGCGCGUCCCGCCGACACAGGAACAUACGGGGCCCCUCCUUGAUAAGGCGAGGGCGCUGGAGUCGAUGCGACUGACGGAGUAGACGAGGCCCUUGCCGGACAGUCGCGGCUGACGUACCCUUCUUGUCCAUAAUUAAAGCACCGCCCUUGUCGUUGUCUACACUGCGGUGCCCGAUGGCCUCGAUCUCCAUAGAUAGGGCAACGCUGCGGCCCACGGCCCCAUGACUGCGACGGCGGAUACUUCGGGGGCCUCCUUGAACUCGAUUGUCCCCCCGAACUGCCGCCCGAUUGCUUCUUCCCCUUGUCUGGGGAUCCGGUCAACAACUCACGCUCCUCCCGCACAUGGGCAUCUCCAUGCUCUGCCCACAGCGCCUUAUUGAAAACCUCAGCGAAAGUUGUGAGCUGGAACAAUUGCACUGCCCGAUAUAUCCAUGGCCGAAGUCCUCGCAAGAACCAUUCGGCCCGAUCCGCGUCAUCCUUGACCACGUCUGGGACACAGUCUAUAAUGUGGGAGAACUCCUGCUCAUAGUCCGCCACGGAGCGAUCCCCCUGUCUCAAUUUGCGAAACUUUUCCUUUAGCUUCCACUUCUCGGUGUCGGGGAAGUAAUUUCCAAACACUUCCCUCUUCAACUCAUCCUAGAGCAUUGGUGGAAGGUCAGAGGGUCGAUCUCGCUUCAACCGCUUCCACCACACCUUCGCCGCCUUGUCAAGGCAAUGGGUGGCGAAAGGCACUUUAUCCUUCUCCGAGGUGUAUAGGUCCUCGAAGAGGGUCUCCAUAGAGUCAAUCCAAGACUCCACCACCGAUGGCUCCACUUUCCCCCCUUCAAAAGUUGGUGGCUUAAACUUCAUAAACUUCAUUAGAGCCGUCAACGCACGCUCCCGCUCCACUUCGUCGGCCGUCGUAUCAAGUAUCGCCGAACCUGAAGCUGUCGGAGGCGCAUUUGCCGGCGGGGGAACUGCUGCCAUCGGAACUGCCGCUAUGCCCUCACCCUCGGUCGCUACCAGCGCGCGUGCCGAAGGUGCGGGCGGAUCGUGAUCUCCAGCCGCUGUCGCGGCCACCGCUGCUGCCGCUUGCCGCUCCACAAAUCCCUGGAGCUGCUCGAAUCGAGCCUCCUGGCGCUGCAUCGCGCCCAACAUUGCAGCGACCUGCUCCCGCAGCUCCUGCACUUCCUCCGAUCUUGUCUGCUCGGGCUCCGCAGAAGGCGGUACCGGAGCAGACCUAUGCACGUAACGCCUCGGGGACAUUUGCUCCUGAAAAGCAACGACUCGGUUAGUUAUCUUAAUCCGAUAACUUUUUCAACGCUCACGAAAUUAAACGACUCGACAGUGAAAUCGGGCGGAAGCUCACAAGUGUUCCAGUUCUGGACUCUUAGCGUCGCGUCGUCGGCCGCCGACACAACCACGACGAGCCGAGAAACUAGUAUCACUUGGAUCCGUCUCUAUUCACAGCUAGAGACAUGACAUAAGUUCUGGACUCUUAGCGUCGCGUCGUCGGCCGCCGACACAACCACUACGAGCCGAGAAACUAGUAUCACUUGGAUCCGUCUCUAUUCACAGCUAGAGACAUGACAUAAGUUCUGGACUCUUAGCGUCGCGUCGUCGGCCGCCGACACAACCACUACGAGCCGAGAAACUAGUAUCACUUGGAUCCGUCUCUAUUCACAGCUAGAGACAUGACAUCAACUUUGACCCAAUCGAUCAACUUCCGCCAUCGCCAUGAGUUCACGUUCACUCACGUCCCUAUAACCUUAGGGUUUACCGACCUAGUGUCUCCUAGGUCAUCCUAGACUCUCUCUUUACUUGCUCUGGUGCUCUGAUACCACUUUGUGACGCCCCAGCUUCCCAGGGGGUCACCCAUCCUAGGACUACUCCCGUCCUAGCACGCUUAACUCUCUUAACCUCUUGGGCCUUGCCACCACCCAAAAUGCUUAAGCCGGGUUAAAAGUUUAGCCCUAUUAUAUCUUAUAUAUAGGACUACCCGGGGUCUCACACCUCAAGUGAAAAACCCUCUCUUAAUCUUCAAAUGGGAAGUAGAGGUUUUCCAAUCUAACUUAUAUAAAGGUUCUAAACCAUUCCAAUAAGAUCAAGAAGCCUCAAAUUAAGAAUCCCAAAAUCUAACCCUAAAAUCCAAAAUCUAGGGUUUAAACAAGCAAAAUGCCCCAAAACUAAGAUCUAGAGGAAGGAACCUUGCCACUUACCUCUAGGAUGCUCCAAUCCAAGCUCAAAAUCUUCUAGGGUUGAAGAUUGAUCCACCACAAAGUUCCAAAAGCAAGCUCCAAGCCUCCAAAGGUGAGAAAUGAGGAAGAAGAUGGUGCUCCAAAGCCUCCAAGCAAGCUCCUCUCCUCUCCUUCUCCUUCUUCUCCUUCCCUUUCUCUCUCUAGAAGUGUAAGGAGAGUGUGAGGGAGAGAAAAUGAGAGUGAGAGGGGGUAGAGAGGCUGCCAAAAGCCUCUAAGGUAACAAAAUCCACUUAGGCCUCUCAAAAAUCCACUCUGUGCACUGCCCGGUCUGGGCCGCUCACGCGCUGAGGGACCGGUCUCUCCCUGCCAAGGACCGGUCUCUAGGCUCGUCCAGCAAAACCAGCGUUCGGGAACCGGUCUCUCACAGCCAGGGACCGGUUGCCUCAAGCCCUGUCGCAGCACUGUGCUGAGGGGACCGGUCUGUCAUAUCAGGGACCGGUCCCCGAGAGUGAAAACUCUCAGGACUUGCCAAAACUCUAGAGAUCGAACUUUUAGGCCGGUAUACAUCGACGGCCCUCCACCAAGUGUGGAAAAGUUCGAAAUACAUAUCGAACACUCGAACCUCGCAAUUUGCAAAGGUCCAGUGUGCUACAUUCAUCCCUCCUAAAAAGGAGUUUCGUCCGCGAAACUCGAAUACUAACAUACCUCAAAACUCCGUCUGAAAAAGAUGGGGAUAGUGCUCCCGCAGCGCACUCUCUAGCUCCCACGUGGCCUCCCGCUCCCCAUGGUUGCUCCAAAGAACCUUCACGGACGGAAUAUCCCGGUUUCACAGUUUCCGCACCUCGCGGGCCAAAAUCUUCGCUGGGUCGAAGACAUACUUCCGAAGGACCGAUACAUGAAAGACGUUGUGCACGCCGGAUAGGUUCGGUAGUAGAGAAAGUCGAUAUGCUACCGGACCCACACGUUCCAAGAUCUCAUACGGUCCAAUGAAACAGGGGCUCAACUUACCCCGAAUCCCAAAUCUCUUAAUCCCUCUAGUCGGCGAAACUUUCAAGAAAACAUGGUCUCCAACUUGGAACUCCAAGUCUCGCCGUCGUCGAUCGGCGUAGCUCCUCUGUCUACUCUGCGCCGUCAAAAGUCGCUCCCGAGCAAUUCAAACCUUGUUCUCAGCUUCCUGGAGCACGUCGGGGCCUAAUGCGAAUCUCUCACCGACUUCACUCCAAUGAAGUGGCGAUAUACACUUCCGUCCGUAAAGUGCUUCGAAGGGCGCCAUCUUGAUGCUUGCUUGAUAACUAUUGUUAUAAGCAAACUCUGCCAUCGGUAGAUGCUGCAACCAUCCUCCCUGGAAGUCAAUCACACAUGCUUGGAGCAUAUCCUCUAAAGUCUGAAUAGUGCGCUACGACUGUCCAUCACUCUGCGGGUGGAAUGCUGUACUGAAAUCCAGACGAGUGCCUAAGGCGUCCUGCAGACUCCUCCAAAAGCACGACACAAAUCAGGUGUCUCGAUCCGAUACAAUCGAUGUAGGCACUCCAUGAAGUCGCACAAUCUCAUCGAGGUACACUUGUGCGAGCUUCUCCCCAGUCCAAGUUGUAUGAAUAGGUAUGAAGUGUGCCGACUUCGUCAACCUAUCCACGAUCACCCAAAUAGCAUCUUGCACGGCCUGCGAGCGGGGCAAUCCUGUCACGAAAUCCAUGGUGAUCUUCUCCCACUUCCAAACGGGAACAGGCAAACUAUGAAGUUUUCCCGCGGGAACGCGAUGCUCAGCCUUUACUUGUUGGCAAGUUAGACAACGAGCUACAAACUCGCCAACGUCCUUUUUCAUCCUGGGCCACCAAUAAAGCAACUUUAAAUCCUUAUACAUCUUGGUGCCACCCGGAUAUAUAGCGUAGGGCGCUCGGUGCGCUUCUUGAAGAAUAUCCUCUUUAAUUCCCGAAUCCGUCGGUACACAAAUCCGUCCACAGAAAUGCAUCAAUCCUUGAUCAUCCACAAGGAGUCGCCGGUGCAACCAUUAACCAUUUUACCUUUAAUCCUUUGCAACUCUACAUCGGAAGCUUGCUUUUCUUUAAUUUUAUCCAAUAAUGUAGGUUGCACCACCAACGUCAUCAACCUCAAAGGCGUGUCAGGAGUCACCACCUCCAACUCAAACCGCUUCGUCUGCUCGAUCAACUGCGGUGGAGUAACUAAAUGCAUUGCUAAGUUUUCCGUCGAUUUCCUACUUAGCGCAUCUGCCACCACAUUAGCCUUGCCCGGGUGGUAAAGAAUCGUUAGAUCAUAAUCCUUGAGUAGCUCCAACCAUCUGCGCUGUCUCAAGUUCAACUCCUUCUGAGUAAAGAGGUACUUUAAGCUCUUGUGAUCCGUGUACAUUUCACACCGCUCGCCAUAAAGAUAGUGGCGCCAUAGCUUCAAUGCGAACACUACGGCCGCCAACUCCAAAUCAUGCGUCGGGUAGUUCUUUUAAUAUUCCUUUAGUUGGCGAGAAGCAUACGCGAUCACCUUGCCAUCCUGCAUCAAUACACAGCCCAAUCCAUUAAGUAACGCAUCACUAUAUACCAUAUACCCUGCUCAAGCUACUGGUAGGGUUAAGAUCGGGGCGGUCGUCAAUCUCUGCUUCAACUCUUGGAAGCUUCGCUCGCACGCAUUAUUCCAAAUAAACUUGAGUCCUUUAUGCGUGAGCCUCGUGAAGGGAGUGGACAACUUAGCAAAUCCCUCAACAAAUCUCCGGUAGUAACUGGCCAAUCCAAGGAAGCUCCGUAUCUCCGUGACGCUCGUCGAUCUCGGCCAACCCUUGAUAGCUUCAAUCUUCUUGGGAUCCAACGCAAUAUCUAAUCCUGAAAUCAAGUGUCCAAGGAAAGCUACCUCUCGAAGCCAAAAUUCACAUUUCUUCAUCUUGGCGUAAAGCUCCUUUUCCCGAAGUACUUAGAGUACAAUUCUCAAAUGCCCCUCGUGAUCUGCAUCACUUAGAGAGUAGACCAAAAUGUCGUCGAUGAACACCACAACGAACCUGUCUAGAUAAGACUUGAAAACACGGUUCAUUAAAUCCAUAAAAGCUGCCGUGGCAUUAGUCAGCCCAAACGGCAUAACUGUGAACUCAUAGUGUCCAUACCGUGUUCUGAAAGCGUCUUCGAUACAUCCUCGGGUUUGAUCUUCGGUUGGUGGUAUCCAGACUGCAAGUCAAUCUUGGAAUACACACACGAUCCCUGAAGCUGAUCAAACAAGUCGUCAAUUCUCGGCAACGGAUACUUGUUCUUGAUCGUGACUUUGUUGAGUUCACGAUAGUCCACACAUAGGCGAAGUGAUCCGUCCUUUUUCUUGACGGAUAUAACUGGCGCUCCCCACGGCGAGACGCUUGGUCGAAUGAAGCCCUUGUCCAACAGAUCCUGUAGCUGUGCCCUCAGCUCCUUCAGUUCCGCCGGUGCCAUCCUAUAGGGUGCCUUCGAGAUUGGGGUAGUCCCAGGGACAAGAUCCACCACAAAAUCAAUCUCCCUAUCAGGAGGCAUGCCCGGAAGCUCAGCUGGAAACACAUCCUGGAACUCCCGCACCACCGGAAUAUCCUCGAUCCUAGGGGUGUCAUCCUCGCCCCUCAUCACAACACUAGCCAAGUAGGCUACACAUUCUCGGCUGAUCAGCUGCCUAGCUCGAGACGAGCUGAUCGACAUCGCGAAAAGCGAACUCCAGCAUCCUUUAAACACAACCUCAGUCUGCCCCGGUUCUCUAAAGGUAACCGUGCGAUUCUUGCAAUCUAUCGUGGCAUAAUAUUUGCUCAACCAAUCCAUGCCCAAGACCACAUCAAAAUCCCCCAGCUUGCGCAAAGCUAGCAAAUCUACAGACAUGAUCCAAUCUCCUACCCGAAUAGGGCAACUGGGGCAAUACUCUCUAAUAUCCAGAACGUGGUCGGGUACAACAACAUGUCCCGUGUGCAACAAAGGAACCAAUGGAAUGCCAUGCAACUCGGCAAACAGCCGAUCUAUAAAUGAAUGCGAUGUACCGGUAUCAAAUAAAGUACGAACUCUAAUGCCAUCAAGUAAAAUGAUACCUGCAACCACAUCCUCGGCUGCUGCCGCCUCCUCGGUCUGAGCGGCAUACAAGCGUCCACUCGGGGCCUGCCGAAACCCCUCGCUCUGCCGCUGGACGGUUGGCCGCCCAGGCUGGUACUGUGUCGACGGAGUCCCCUGACUGGCGGCUGGUAGAGCCGGUGCCGAUGCAGUCGACGGUGCGGGUGAAGAACCUCUCGGGCACUCAGUCCGCACGUGGCCCUCCUGACCACAUUGGAAGCACCUGCCCGCCCGCUGUGGACACUACGGUGGGUGAUGAGGACCACCACAGAUCACACACGGGGAGGGCCGGCGUCGAUCAUAGCCUCCUCGCUGAGCUGUUGAGCCGCGUCCACGUUGCUGGCUCUUCGGAUGCUUCGGCGACCUCCUAGAGUGCGUCUGGCUCGCACCCUCAGCCGCAGGCCUCUUGGCCUUGCCCUUGUCCAUGGCCUCACGCCGCUCCUGUACCUCUGCCGCGCCGCUCUCCACAAUGGCGCGCGAUCCACCACCUCCCGGUAGGUUUGCAGGUUAGAGGAUUGCACAAACCGGAAGAUCGACGGUCGCAACCCUCGCUCGAAGAUGCGGGCCUUGUCCUCGUCGUCCCGCACGAUGAAAGGCACGCAGUGUAGAAGCCGAGAAAACUCCCUCUCGUACUCGGCUACGGUGCGGUCUCCCUGGCGCAAGCUGUGCAGAUCCUGCUCCAUCUUCCUCUUGACGCUGGUCGGGAAGUAAUGCGCCAAAAUAAGCUCCUUCAACUUCUUCUAUGUGAUAGCUGCUAAAUCAGUGCUUGGGUUCUCCUGGAGAUCCAACCACCAGCGAGUGGUGAGUAGCGAGCCAAACUCGAUCCCUCUCCUCCACGAAGGUGUCGCGGAAGAGCUUCUCCAUAUGUAUCAACCACUUCUCCACGAUCCAGUGGUCGACCUUUUUGCCGUCGAAAACUCGGGGACUACACCUCCUGAACUCAUUGAGGCGCUCCAUCAGUCUGUCUCGCUCUGCCCCCUCGACCAAGGUAGGGAAUGCAGCUCCCACCGGGGGCCUUUAAACAGGUGGUGCCACCAAAACCUCCUCCUUGGGUGCGGCCACAGGUGCCGCACACGAAGAACUGGGCGCGGGGGAUGGCGCUCUCGGUGCAACGUCCACAACGGGUGCUGGCGGUGUAGGGCCCUGCGUCUCCCUAGAAGCUGCUGCCUGUUGCAGGAGUAGAUCCUCCAGGAGCUUCAUCCGCGCCUCCUGUCGGUGCGCCGCCUCAGUCUGCUGUCGGGAUGCCUCCGCCUGCUGAGUGACUAAAUCGGUGAGGGCCGCAAGCUGGCCCCUCAACUCACGGAUCUCGCCAGAUCUGGAUGUAGCGGAGGUCUUGACCUCCUCAAAGUUCGCCACAUUGUCCGCCUCGGCAUAUUGGGAGCGAGUAAUCGGCAUCAUCACUACAAAACAUCAUAAAAGCACAAGUUAGCAAAAACCGAUGCUAUCGCAUCCCCGCUCAAAGAUAAUACCCAAAUCAGGCAAAAAUAAGGAAGUGUGCUUCACUACUAACUCCCGACGUUACGUUGUCGGCCGCCAACGUAACCCUCUGUGAAGUUAGAAGCUAUACACUUCAAUUCAACUCUAACUUUUUAGAGUUAUCAAGAUACCCAAUCAAGGUACUUUCGCUCACAAAUCAAAUAGACCUCGUCUCUCACGAGCCUAUUUCCUAUAGUCCAACCGGCCUAAGGUUUGCUAGGUCCCCUGAGACUCAACCCUAGGCUCUGAUACCAAAUUAAUCUGUCACGCCCCGGGACCCAGCGGAAGCCCGCCCGGCACGUGCCCAGACCCGCCAUACGUCUAAAACAUAUAAGGCGUCUAAAACAACGAUAAUUAAAGCAAGAAUAAAAGAUAUCUAGGAGUAUCAGAGCAUGAUAUAAGACUAAGUUCUACAAUAGAGAAAGGAACAUAAAGCAGGAAUUCACUAAUAAAAGCAUAAGGUAAUACAAAGGAGAUCCCAAAUACAAGUGCUCAAAGUAGUGUAACGCACUGGACCUUUGCAAAUUGCGAGGUUCGAGUGUUUGGAUGUAUUUCGAGCUUGCCCACACUUGGUGGAGGGUUGUAAAAUGUUUUCCGACCUGAAAAGUUCGAAAACUGGAAUUCUGGACAAGUCCUGAGAGUUUUUGCUCUCGGGGACCGGUCCCUGGAAGGAGAGACCGGUCCCCCAGUGAGCAGUGUUGAGGCAGCCUGAGGCAACCGGUCCCUGGCAGGCGAGACCGGUCCCCGAGCGCGUCUUCGCAGUGAGAGACCGGUCCCGCGCAGGGAGAGACCGGUUCCCGAACGCUGGUUUUUCGGGUUCGCAGCGAGAGACCGGUCCCUGCUGGGGAGAGACCGGUCCCUCUGGGCGAAAACUGCCCAGUUCGGGCUGAUGUAAAUUUGAGUUUUUGAGGGGCCUCUCCGGAUUUUGUUACACUAGAUGGGCUUAUUAGCCAUUUCCUCCUCUUCCCUCUCUCAUUCUCUCAUUCUCACCCUCUCCCUACACUUUCUAGAGAGAGAAGAAGAAGAAGAAGGAGGAGAAGAAGAAGAGGAGCUAGCUUGAGGGAGCUUGGAGCUCAACCCCUUUCUCUCUUUUCCACCUUUGCAAGGCUUGGAGCUUGCUUGUAGAGCUUGGUGGUGGACCAAUCUUCAACCCUAGAAGAUUUGGAGCUUGUUUGGAGGCAUCUUGGGAGGUUAGUACUUGGAUUCUACCCUUUGAUCCUUGAUUUGGUAGAUUUUACCAUAUGAAACCCUAGUUUUGGGUAUUAGGGUUGAUUUUUGGGGCUUUUUGAUCUAGGGCUUUUGGGGCUAAAUUGAUUGGUUUAGAACCUUCCUUGGGCUUGGAUUGGAAGGGUUCUAGCUCUCUUUUGGAGCUUUAGAAGAGAUUUCUUCUCUUGAGGUGAAUUUUGGCCCUAUUUGCUUCUAGAUUGAUGUUUGAUCUCAUGGUUGGUCGUAAUACUCUCGUAUCUCUUCGCUGAUCACUUUUAGGGUAUCUUGAGGCUCGUGGACAACUCCGUUCGACGAAUCGAAGGAGCACGCGACGGUUCGGUGGGUUUGGCCUAGCAUACAAUAUGAGAAAUGCUCAUAUUUGGUGUUAAAUGUUUCGUAAAGUUGAAAUUCUUGCAUUUUCAUGUUAAAUGUAUUUAUUAUGAAUUUUAGAAUGCUUAACAUGCAUAGGUUAUGUGUAGUAAAUUUUGGGACCUCUAUAUAGUAGAGAGCAUGCAUGUGUGGCCUAGCAUUCUAGUUGAGACUUGAAAUUAUAAUCCCUAUUAUGAAAACGAACCUUGCUUUCAUGCAUUCAAACUAUAUACCAGAUGUGACAUUAGGGAUUUUUGGAAGCCUAGAGAGGCUUAGGGACUUAGAUGAUAUGUGAGAUUGGGCCAAUGUCAUGAAGAGGCAUUGGGGCCCGGGGCAUAGUGAGCAUUAAUGUUAAUGUCUUAAUUGGAACAUGAUUAGUUGUGGAGCUUAAGUGUCAUAAAGAGGCACUAAGCAAGUGUGUGUUGGGACUUCACAUUAUGACUUUGAACUAGAUCUUCGGGAUGCUAGUGACUAUACCAUGUUAGAGACAUGAGGAUUGGGUACUUGAGACAGUGACCUUGCUUGUUUGCCAUUUGUGCUCAUUCGCACAUGCUUGUGAGGGUCGCUCCCCACAAGCCGGCACUCCGGAGUUGGCCUAUGCGACUUUUGUUCGCUCGUGCGGUAUUGAGACGCCUACGGGGUCGAGUGGGACAGACACAUUCCAUGUGUAGGAAUGUCGGGCUACCACAGGCACUUAGGCGGCACAAGCCGGACUACCUUGGGUAGAUCCUUAAUUGGAAAUGUAAAUCGACACGGUUUGAGAAUGAAUGAUCACUACUAGAUAGGCUUAGUAGUUGGAUUACAUUUACAUGCUUUUAGCAUAGUGUGAGACAUGUAGUAUACUUGGUUGCCAUGAUAGGACUCCUAUAUCAUGUAUUGACAAAGGUUAACAACAUUAAACUAGUGCCAUUGGACUUAAUUGCAAUGAUAGAAUAGAUAUACAUUUUGGUUGACAUCAUGCUUACUUGAGACACAGUAGACUAGCAUUUCAAAUAUGCUUUCUUUCAGCAGUGUAUUUACAUGCUCCUUAUUGCUUAUUAUUAUUAUUAUCGUUGCUUACCCUUAUUUUUAGGGCCUAGUGGAGCAUGAGCUGAGGUCAGUAAUUGCCCACUGGGAACUAUAAAUUAUAGUUCUCACGCCCUCUUUUUCUCGAUGUUUUUCAGAGCCUUCCACUCAGGGUGAGGCCAGGGAUCGCGGGAAGGGAGUUGCUUCGAGCUAGCUUCCUUCGAGAACGAGUUGCUAGGUGGUCUACCUCUCGAUUUUUAUUUCUUUUUGCGAGAGGUUGAGAGUUUUACCAGUGUACUAGAGACCACCACUUUUGUAUUUUGGAGAUAGAUUUUGUACUACUUGUUUUCUUUCAUGUAUUAGUUAUGUUCUAUUACUAUUGGUGUAGAUGUUAUAACUUUACUCGCUCUGAUAUCAUUAGUUGCUAGUUAUUUCACUUCUUUUAUUUGUUCCAUCUCUUGCUUUUACUUCCGCUUUUCUUGUAGACGCCUUAUAUGUGUAGACAUAUGGCGGGUCUGGGCACGCUACUGGGAGGGCCUCCGCCGGUCCCGGGGCGUGACAAGUAGAUACAUAGGUGGUCUCUAUACGUGGAUACAAAAUCUCUCGCUUUCUCUCAACUACAAAAAGAAAGAGUAAACCACAUAGGCAAAGAACCGCUCCUCGCUAGCUAGCUAUGCGAUCCCCUUGCCGCGAUCCCGUGCCUCCGCCGGUGCAGAAGGCUCUGAAAGAAACCACGAAAAAGAGGGCGUGAGAACUCUUAAAAAUAGUUCCCAGUGGGCAAUUACUGACUUCAGUUAAUGCACCACAAGGCCAAAGCUACAAGGGAAGUGGUCAGCGACAAUAAAAACAGUAAAGCGAAAUGUAAGUAAAAGUGUAACUUACUAUAACAUGAAGUCUCUACUUAGCAUGAUUUGCAUAAGUAAUAAAGCAACUAUAUCAUGGAUGUACAUGGAUAGGUAUGACAUGCAUAAUCAUAGAAAUGCAACCAACUCGAUGUCCUCAAUGCAAAAAUAGUAAAGAUGUCAUUGUUUACUAUUCUAAUCCAAGUCCACGUUUCACUUUAAUAGUUUUAAAGUUCAUAUGGCAUACACUGUCACUAUGUUCCAAUCAUAUAAGACCCAUCCGAAGGUUGUUUGGCCUGCGCCGUGCCUAAUGGCCCCGUGGUAGUCAACAUCCCCACUCUAGGAAUGAGCCUCCCCCACGGCAAUCCACUUCGGCGCCCAAUCCCGCACGGGCGAGCAUAUGUCGCGAUGGCUAUCUCCGGAGUGCCGGCUUGUAGGGAGCGACCCUCACAAGCAUAUGCGAAUGAGCACAAAUGGCAAGCAAGCAAUGAUCCGUCUCAAGUCUCAUGUCUAAAACAUGGAAUAUAUCGAAUGUCCCCAUGGUCUAUCUCUAUGUCGUCAUGUCUCUAAUAUGGAAUAUAGCAGAUAUGUGUUGGCCUAUCAAUGUGUCACUAUGUUGUAAUUUCAUAGUUUACUAGUUUCAAGUGCCCCUUAAGGACACUUUGUUCUCUAUGUCAAGCAUGGUAACUAUGUUCCAAGGUUCAUGUUCCAAGUCGUAUUCUUCCUAAGAGAUAUGUUCUCAACUUGCACAAACAAACACUUUAUCAUAUGCAUGCUGCCUACACAUUUAGCUCUACUAUAUAGAGUACAAUUUUUAUGAUACAUAGCACAUGCAUUUUAAGUGUUCUAGAAUUCAUAUAAAUUCUACUUAGUAUAGAAAUGCAUUCAAAAGUACUUUACAACAAGUAUUAAGAGCAUAGGGGCCAUUUUGCCCAAUUUCCACGAAGCCAAACCCACCAAAAUCGUCUUCUUCGUUUCGCCGAACGAAGGUAUCCACAAGCUUCCUAAUACCCUAGAAACAUCAAAAGUAGGGUCACUCGAACGAAACGAAGAGCCAUUGGCUCAAUCAUUAAGCUUCUCAAGCUAGGGUUGGGAAAAACUCAUCUCAAGUGAAAAACCCUCUUAAUCUUCAAAUGGGAGGUAGAGGUUUUCCAAUCUAACCUAUAUAAAGGUUCCAAACCAUUCCAAUGAGAUCAAGAAGCCUCAAAUCAAGAAUCCCCAAAUCUAACCCUAAAAUCCAAAAUCUAGGGUUUAAACAAGCAAAAAGCCCCAAAACUAAGAUCUAGAGGAAGGAACCUUGCCACUUACCUCUAGGAUGCUCCAAUCCAAGCUCAAAAUCUUCUAGGGUUGAAGAUUGAUCCACCACAAAGCUCCAAAAGCAAGCUCCAAGCCUCCAAAGGUGGGAAAUGAGGAAGAAGAUGGUGCUCCAAGGCCUCCAAGCAAGCUCCUCUCCUCUCCUUCUCCUUCUCCUUCUUCUCCUUCCCUUUCUCUCUCUAGAAGUGUAAGGAGAGUGUGAGGGAGAAAAAAUGAGAGUGAGAGGGGGUAGAGAGGCUGCCAAAAGCCUCUAAGGUAACAAAAUCCACUUAGGCCUCUUAAAAAUCCACUCUGUGCACUGCCUGGUCUGGGCCGCUCACGCGCUGAGGGACCGGUCUCUCCCUGCCAAGGACCGGUCUCUCGGCCCGUCCCGCAAAACCAGCGUUCGGGAACCGGUCUCUCACAGCCAGGGACCGGUUGUCUCAAGCCCUGUCGCAGCACUGUGCUGAGGGGACCAGUCUCUCAUAUCAGGGACCGGUCCCCGAGAGUGAAAACUCUCAGGACUUGCCAAAACUCUAGAGAUCGAACUUUUAGGCCGGUAUACAUCGACGGCCCUCCACUAAGUGUGGAAAAGUUCGGAAUACAUAUCGAACACUCGAACCUCGCAAUUUGCAAAGGUCCAGUGUGCUACAGGUAGAUAUUCGUUGUUCAUCGUAUGAGCAUAGCUUAGGAAGGAUCAAUGAAAGAACGUUCGUGAAGUCAUCAGUGCAGCUUCGAACUCUGUCCCAGCGUGCUUCUUCCCCUUCUGCUGCUCCACCUCCUGCUGCUGCUACUUCUUCACGUCCUUCUAUGGACAUUUUCGAGGAAGAUGUCUCAGUUUCCUCUGUGUAUCGUGAGCAACAACGUUUGUCUGAAGAGCUUCAGAAACUAUCUGCGGAACAAGCUGCAAUACGGAAUGAUGUAAGCAAAAUGAAGCGGUUAAUGCAGGCGAUUUUUGACAAGUUAGGAUAUUACCGAGCAGAUUUACCUCCAGGGGAUGAUUCAGAUUAGAUGUUACGGGGUUCCUCCUUUGGUCAUUUUGGCGCUUUCUGACAAAAAGGGGUAGAUGACAUGUGAAUGAUAUGAUGGCUCAUGAUGAUGAUGAUGGCUGAUGAGAUGAUGAUGUCUAAUGAGAUCUGAUGAGGAUACUGUUUUUUUUUUUUUGAUUAGUUGUGUAAAUUUAGGCUAGAUGUUUGUUUAGGUGCUUAACUAUGAACUAUGACUUGUUGUUUUGAUUGCUUUGACGUUUGAUCUUUUAUGAUAAUUGCUUGAAUCUUGAUUGUGUUUUUUUUAAGAAUGUUUUUGCAGGAAUAUUCAAGACUUCAAGAUUCCGGGUCUAAGUCAUAGAGUCUGUAUUAAGGUUGAAAAAUGUAAUUUUUCUUUUAUUGGAUCGAUCGUGCAGGAGAUUGUCGUUUGGUGAUUGCGAUGAUCUUCUUUUUAUUGUUUCUGAGUUGUGUAUGAACUUUGUAGUAUAUUUUGUCACGAAAUCACCAAAGGGGGAGAUUGUUAAGGAUGUUAUAGGUUGGCGGAUUUCGUAAUGUUGAAUGGAGUCUUGAAGAGUUGAUCGCGGAAGUUUGAAGAAAAGAUCCAAAUUGAAGAACAAAGACUCAUUCGGAAAGCUCGGCAUCUAAGGUAUGAAGAAUGGAUGAUUUAUGGUGAAGUUAUUUAAUUAUAAUAAGUUCAGAAGGCUUAGAUUGCUUUAAAAAUUAUUUUACUGAACUUGUAUGUGUUCUGGGACCGGUCCCUGUGUUGAAGAGACCGGUUCCCCUAAGGUUCUCACUGCGUGAACAUUGAUGCAACCGGUCGCCUGAGAUGAGAGACCGGUUCCCGAACAUUGGAAAUUCUGUCGCGCAGCAAGGGAUCGGUCUCUGGCUUGAGAGACCGGUUCUCGAACGUUGUGUUUUUGAUCACGCAGCAAGGGACUGGUUCCUCACUUGAGAGACCGGUCUCUCACAGACCGGUCUCCUCGAGAGGACCGGUCCCUGAGGACGACACAUGUUUUUAAAAAGGACUUUUUGCAAUCCUAGUCUACUUUUAAGUCUUCUAAACAUAUAAAUAAGCCAUGGGGGUCAUCUUAAAGUUUAAGGCUUUGAAUUCUUACUAAUUCUAAACCCUAGAAACUUGUUUUUCCGUUCUGAUGAUUCUACUCACAUAACAAGUUUCGAAAAAUCAACAAUCGACUUGGUUCUUUGAUUUUACUUGAGAUCUUAUUCGAGAAUCAAGUUGAUGUUUGAUUAGAAGACGGACCCUCAUAGCUUAUGGGAUUCUAAAGCUUAAUCACCACAAAUCUUCGAUUCUACAAGCUUCGGAAGGAGAUUCGGCGUGUGGAUCUCGCGUGUAGCCGAGGAUUCGGUGGACGCUUUGAGGAGUUGAGGCAUUGACGCUGCGUAGAGUUUCGGCGAGGUCGAUUGGAGGAUUCCUAUCGAUCGAGGACCGGCGAAGAUCAUCAUCAACAAGAAAUCGGUAAAUUGAGUCGUGUGUUUUUGUCAAAAUCACUUGUACUCAAGCUUUCUUAGUGGAUUUUCUUUGCGUGAUCGGUCCCGUGGGUUUUUCACUCCGGCUUGGAGUUUUUCCACGUUAAAUUCUCGGUGUGCUGUUUUAUUUUUCGCUAUUUCAUUUUAUUUGCAUCGAGAUUUUUGAGUUUGCCGUUUUUACACCUAUUCACCCCCCUCUAGGUGUUACUUAUCUUUUAGAUCCUCGGGAUCCAUAUCUUAUACCGGUCACUCGGGGAGAGACCGGUUCCCGAACGCGUGCGCCCGAGGGGGGCUCUCGGGGACCGGUCCCAAGUUGUGGAGACCGGUCCCUCCGCGCGAAUUCUGCCCAGUAAGGGCUGUGCAAGGAUGGAAAAGUGGAGGGGUUUAAGUGCAAAAUGGCCAUCAUAUGAGGGGUGUAUAUAGGAAAUUACCCUCUCUUUCUCUCAUUCUCAUCCCCUCACUCCCUCUCAUCACUCUCCCUCUCUCUCGCUAGAAAGAGAAGAAGCACAAGAAGAACAAGAAGGAGAUGAAGGAAAAGGAGAAGAAGAAAAGGAAGAAGAAGAAAAGGAAGAAGAAGAAGAAGGAGAAGGAGAUCAAGGAGAAGGCUUUAAACAACUCCCUCUCCCUCUCCUCUUUCCAUUGGUGUAGCUCAAGAGGUAAGCUACAAACCCUAGCUUGUAGAACUUAGGGUUUUGGGUUUUGAGCUUUGGAAAUGGGGUCAAAUGGACCCCUAGCACCAUUGUUGGUGGAUCAAAGCUAAAGUUAGGGUUCCAAAUAACAAAUGGCAAGAUGGGAACCCUAGGGCACCCAAAAUGGGGUUUUUGGUGAAGUAUGAGAUUGAUCUUAUUUGAGACCUCGUAAACCUAAUUGGUAGGUCACAAAACGCUGGGGCGUAGUCGAUUUCGCGAUUCGACUAGUGAAUUGGGAGCUAUCAGCGAAAUACGGCCGAUUUAGCCUUGUCUUGGACCGAGAAGGACGAGAUCUUGUCGUAAGGUGCGCCGAGGAGCGUUUCUAAAGCCUCUACAUCGAUAAAAGGUGGGGGGUGCUAUCCCGAAGCUUUCAAACUCCUUUCUAUGUCUUAGAUUGCAUUUAAUCUCAUUUCUUACAUGUUGCAUUGUAGGAUUGCAUAGUAGCUCCAUUCCUUAUACUUUCUAAUUGAUAACCUAGUGCAUUUGGAAUGCUUGAUAACUUAGAUAGGUGAGGAUUGGGUCGGAAUGUGGAUCCUAUGAUGCGAAAGAAAAUAGAUGAACCCGAUGGAGGUUGGUGACAUAGAAAGUAGUGUUUAAUGUCAAAGAACAAACGAGUGGCAUCCAAAUGUUAAAGAAUAACGAGUGGCAUUAAUGUAGUGUAAAUGACACUAGAGGUUUGAGAACCUAUGGAUAGAUGGAUCCUUUAGAAAAUGCCUUGUGGAUAAAGAACUUAGUAAACCUAAGUACCCUCACAUGGAGAGGUUGUCGAUGAGUUAUUGAGACAUUGACUCUAGUUGUAGAGCAUCCUCACUUGGAGAGGAUUUGAUUGGGUUAUUGACUCUAGUUGUAGAGCAUCCUCACUUGGAGAGGAUUCGAUUGGGUUGUUGACCCAAGUUGUAGGGUAUCCUCACUUGGAGAGGACAGAUCUAGCUCACAGUCUGCUUUUGGGGUGGUAUAGCCAUCCAUAUACCCACAUGGAGGGGAUUGUCGUCGAGUACUCCGGAGUGUUGUGCGACUAGGACCACUUGGAGGUCCGGACCACAUGGAGGUCCGCAGACGGUCCCGGGCUUGGGUGCACUUGGAGCUCCCUCCCCACUUUGGAAUUGAAAGGUGAGUUAUUGGCGAACCCUAGGGCUUCGCUACAGAUUGGGUAAAAGAACAGUGAACAAUGUCAUUGAACAUUAUCAUUCGAACAUAGAUCGAAUUUGUUAGAAUGAUAGUAAACCUUUACUAUAUGAUGCAUGCAUUCAUUACACAUGAUUAUGGGCAUAGUAGCAUAGUUUUCCUACUAUCACAUUUAUGGCAUUUAGAUAUCUAUCUAUCUAUCUAUCUAUUGUUGCUUGUGCCCACUUGGACCUAGUGGGGAGAUCGGCAGAGUCGGCGGCCGAGCCCACUGGGAACUAUGGAAGAUAGUUCUCACCCCACUCUAUUUCCAGUGGUAGGUACAGGGUUGCCGAGAGAGGACCGCGGCAAGGGCAUUGCGGCCGACCAGUGAGACCAUGGUAGUAUAAUAGCUUCCCUUUUUGCAUUAGUACACCUAUGUAUUGAGAGAGAUUCAUUGUAGGUGAGGAUUUGGAGAGCUAUGUAUUUUGGAUGAAAGAUGUAAUCAUUUAAAGAAAAUGAUGUAAAUGAAAAGGAUGAACUAUUGUUAUAGUUAGCAAGGUACUCUCUUUACUUCAUAUGUUAUUCCUGUGGAUUACUUGCUCUCGUAGUUGUUGGCACAAUUUGUGCCCCGUUGAAUGUGUAUGUUUAGAAUUUAAAUUCUUGGGAAAUUCUUGUACACAUUCUUGUUGUGAGCCUUGGGCGGACAGGGGAGGUGCUGUCUGUUCGGCGGACCGCUCGCCGCGCCCGAAUCGUGCCAAAUUGGUAGUGAUCUCGGGGCGGGGCGUGACAUGAGUAGUCUAAUGUUGUUCCGGUUUUUGUUCUUGUGAACAUUGACAUCGAUUCGUUCCAAAUUUACACUCUCGGGGCAUAAUAGAACAAUAUAAUUAGGUUUUACGCUUUAUUAGAUAGAAUGAGAAAAAGUACCCGUUGCAAAGUUAUACUGUUAGGGUGCAACUGAGUAGUCUAAUGUUAUUCUGAUUUUUAUUCUUGUGAACGUUGACAUCGAUUCGUUCCAAAUUUACAAUCUCGGGGCAUAAUAGAACAAUAUAAUUAGGUUUUACUCUUUGUUCGAUAGAAUGCGAAAAAGUACUCGUUGUAAAGAUAUACUGUUAGGGCGCAACUGAGUAUUCUAAUGUUGAUCUGGUUUUGGUUCUUAUGAAUGUAGACAUCAAUUCAUUCCAAAUUUGCACUCUCGGGGCAUAAUAGAACAAUAUAAUUAGGUUUUACACUUUGUUCGAUAGAAUGAGAAAAAGUACUCGUUGUAAAGUUAUACUGUUAGGGCGCAACGAAGUAUUCUAAUGUUGUUCCGGUUUUGGUUCUUGUGAACGUUGACAUCGAUUCACUCAAAAUUUACACUCUCGGGGCAUAAUAGAACAAUAUAAUUAGGUUUUACUUUUUGUUCGAUCGAAUGAGAAAAAGCACUCGUUGUAAAGUUAUACNGUUUUUGUUCUUGUGAGCGUUGACAUCGAUUCGUUCCAAAUUUACACUCUCUAGGCAUAAUAGAACAAUAUAAUUAGGUUUUACGCUUUCUUCAAAAAAAUGAGAAAAAUUACUCGUUGCAAAGUUAUACAGUUAGGGCGCAACUGAGUAGUCUAAUGUUAUUCCGGUUUUUGUUCUUAUGAGCGUUGACAUCGAUUCGUUCCAAAUUUACAAUCUCUGGGCAUAAUAGAACAAUAUAAUUAGAUUUUACGCUUUCUUCGAUAAAAUGAGAAAAAGCACUCGUUGCAAAGUUAUUCUGUUAUGGCGCAACUGAGUUGUUUAAUGUUGUUCCGGUUUUUGUUCUUGUGAGCGUUGAUAUCGAUUCGUUCCAAAUUUACACUCUCUGGGCAUCAUAGAACAAUAUAAUUAGGUUUUACGAUUUUUUUUAUAAAAUGAGAAAAAUUACUCGUUGCAAAGUUAUACUGUUAUGGCGCAACUGAAGUGCCUAAUGUUGUUCCAGUUUUUGUUCUUGUGAGCGUUGACAUCGAUUCGUUCCAAAUUUACACUCUCUAGGCAUAAUAGAACAAUAUAAUUAGGCUUUACGCUUUCUUCGAUAAAAUGAGAAAAAGUACUCGUUGCAAAGUUAUACUGUUAGGGCGCAACAGAUUUGUCUAAUGUUGUUCCGGUUUUUGUUCUUAUGAGCGUUGACAUCGAUUCGUUCCAAAUUUACACUCUCUGGGCAUAAUAGAACAAUGUAAUUGGAUUUCACGCUUUUUUCGAUAAAAUGAGAAAAAGCACUUGUUGCAAAGUUAUUCUGUUAUGGCGCAACUGAGUUGUUUAAUGUUGUUCGGAUUUUUGUUCUUGUGAGCGUUGACAUCGAUUCGUUCUAAAUUUACACUCUCGGGGCAUAAUAGAACAAUAUAAUUAGGUUUUACGCUUUCUUCGAUAAAAUAAGAAAAAGCACUCGUUGCAAAGUUAUACUGUUUGGGCGCAACUGAGUAGUCUAAUGUUAUUCCGAUUUUUGUUCUUAUGAACGGUGACAUCGAUUCGUUCCAAAUUUAUAAUCAAGGGGUAAAAUAGAACAAUAUAAUUAGGUUUUACUCUUUGUUCGAUAGAAUGCGAAAAUAUACUCGUUGUAAAGUUAUACUGUUAGAGCACAACUGAGUAUUCUAAUGUUGUUCCGGUUUUGGUUCAUAUGAAUGUUGACCUCAAUUCAUUCCAAAUUUGCACUCUCGAGGCAUAAUAGAACAAUAUAAUUAGGUUUUACUCUUUGUUCGAUAGAAUGAGAAAAAGUAAUCGUUGUAAAGUUAUACUGUUAGGGCGCAACGAAGUAUUCUAUUGUUGUUCCGGUUUAGGUUCUUAUGAACGUUGACAUCAAUUCCUUCCAAAUUUACACUCUCUGGGCAUAAUAGAACAAUAUAAUUAGNNNNNNNNNNNNNNNNNNNNNNNNNUGAGCGUUGACAUCGAUUCGUUCCAAAUUUACACUCUCUGGGCAUAAUAGAACAAUAUAAUUUGGUUUUACGCUUUCUUCGAUAAAAUGAGAAAAAGUAUUCGUUGCAAAGUUCUACUGUUAGGGCGCAACUGAGUAGUCUAAUGUUGUUCCGGUUUUGGUUCUUUUGAACGUUGACAUCCAUUCGUUCCAAAUUUUAAUUUAUCUCAAACAGAUUUAAAUAUUAAUUCUUAUCCAAAUAGGAUUUAACUACAAAUCUAACCAAAUCCUAACAACAUGAACAAAGUACCAAGAGUGUUAGUUUUAUGUUAGAAUUAUAUCUAAAUACCAGCAAAAUUUGAGCUGUUGAUUAAGUAUUUUUAUAUAUAUUAAGCACUACCAUGUCCUCGUAAUGAUAUGUUCUAUUUCACUUAUGUGAUAGAUAUUGAAAUGUGCCUAAGCAAAGUUAGUGGAACUGUAUCGCAUUGAAAGGUUAGUAGAGCCUUUUUGUGGGUCACACACAAGUUGAAUUGCAAAAAAGUAAUGCUAUGCCCCCUCCUAAAAGUAGAUGUGAGUAGAUAUUUAGUUAAACUGGUUCGUUUGGGCUCUGUGGGACACACAUUAUAUGAUUUAAAUUCAUUGAUUUUGAUUCUGUAUGUUCUGAUAUCAAAAUUUAUGUCAUAAAAUGAUGAGCGUGGGAAUUGAACUUAAGAGGUACCUCUUAGAACAGAGAAGGCUUAGGAUAUACCAUAUUAUCCAAAAGUUCGAUUAGACUAUUCUGACAUCUGAAUAACCUGAGAGCAGACAUAGCUAAAGAAUCAAAUGGCAGCUAGGAGAAGAUGGGUGAUUUAGUUGGCAAAUAAAAUUCAAGUAAAUUUAACCUGAGAUAAAAACUGCACAACAUAAAUAAAAGAAAGAAAAGAAGAAAGCAAACAUAUAUGAAGCAGAUGAUUUAUCGCAGUUCGAUCUUUUCACCUACUCUAGUCCGGUCCUCUAUCUUCUCAAGACUCUCAUAUAAAUAUGAUUAGUUAAUUCAGAUUUGGCAAAAAUUCAGCACGGAUAUAAUUCGAAUAAAAUUCGUAUCUCAAUUUUUAAAUUUAUUGAAAAAUAUGACUUAAAAAAUGGAUUUGCCAAUUUUUCGGAUAUGCGAUUUAUAUGAAAAUUAUACGUUCACCAAUUAAAUAAAAAAUUCAGCUAUUAAACUAAGUUUUCUUCUCUAGAUUUAUGCUACUAGCAUACAUAAAUUCUUAAGAAUAUAAAAAUAGAGAGCUCCAAAGUAAAAUAGAUUAAUAAAAAAGUAAUAACAAAUUUUAUUAUCGUCUCCAUCUUCAUUUUUUUCAGAAUCCACAUACUCCGAAAGUUUAUGAAGUUUUUCAAUAAUACACGAAUAAUUCGGCAAUUAUUUGGAAAAAAAUUUUAUUCAAAAAUUUUACGUGUUUGUUUGGCUGAAUAGAUCGGCAUACGAGAGUUAUUUUAAAAAUAACUGUAUUUUAUCCAAGGCAAGUCCCCCGGGACCACGGCAAGACUUGCCUUGGGUCUAGGGUUCCGAGCCGUGCUGUGCCGGGCCAACGGCCUCUCCUCGUGCCUGGCCGUCGGGCCCCAGAAAUGCAGCCCAGCACGGCCUGAAGAGCCUGGCCGGCCCGGCCCGGCCCGGCACGAAUGCUACAAUAUCUGUGCCGGGCCGGGCGGCCGGCUGCCCGGCCCGUUUUACACUCCUAACUAGCACUCUGCGAUAGGCUGGGUCUACCACUUGUUCCAAAACCAACUCUAUAUCCUAAUCUAUUUUAAAUAAAGUUCGGAUAAUUACAAAUUAUGAAUUCUCUUAAAUUUUGCUUCACACAAUUUUUGGUUGCAUCAUAAAACAAUUUGGAUGUAAAAAUUCGAGACAUAUUUAAUAGAACUUUUUGUAUAUAUAUAUAUAUAUAUAUAGAGUGAGGCUACUAUGCUAUCGGAAGCACGGAGCCUUCCGUGCUUCCAGCUCGUUUUCGAUGUUGUGAUUUUUGAAUCGUCGAUCGGCUCCGUUAAACUUGAUCUAGAGUAUUUGNNNNNNNNNNNNNNNNNNNNNNNNNUAGUAAUUUGAAGUACCUAGAAAAUAAAUUUAUGAUUUACGAUAUCAUUUGGCCUAGUGAACGAAGGGGCUCAAAAUGCACGGCUGAAAAAUAAAAUCUUACAAAUGUAAUAAUAUGACAUUAAAUUUUAAAUCAAGAUAUUGAACUUGUUUUAUAUAGUAUAAUAAGAAUUUUCUAUCAAAAUUUCACUGUGAUUUGGAUAUUUUCACCGUUAAACUUGCAAACGGCUCAUACGGCAUUGAAAUUUGUUGAUUUUGAGCCAUUCGAUCAACUAGGCAAAUGAAUAUCGAAAAAAUAAUAAAAUUAUUUUCUAGUACUCCAAAUACUUCUUAGAUCAAUUUACCGAGCCGAUGCGACUCGAUUUGAAAGUCGCAACAUCGAAAACGAGCUGGAAUCGACGGAAGGCUCCGUGCUUGCCAAUAGCAUAGUAUAGUCUCACUCUAUAAUAUAUAUAUAUAUAUAUAUAUAUAUAUAUAGAGUCGGCUACUAUGCUAUUAAUAGUACGAAGCACUUGUGCUACCUAAUUUUUCCGCGCGUUAGAUCUAGCCCUUUUGUGAUUCAUUUCACCAGUUAGAUCAUACAUUCACCACACACCACUCAAACCAUAGGGGCCCACAUCAUCCUAACCGACAUUCUUAAUCCAAUACAACCCAACUGGGUGUAGCACAAUUGCUUGGUGCUAUUAAUAGCAUAGUAGCGCUAGUUCUAUAUGAGUCCGGCUAACUAUGCUAUUAAAUGUACGAAUGCGGCUUGUGGCUACAAGUUUUCCGCCGUUAGAAUGCUACACUUUUGAUUAUUUCAUCCGUUUAGAUCAUAACUAUUCAACCAACCACCACUCAAAUCCUAGGGGCCACAUCAAUGCCUAACCGCACCAUCUCUUCAUCCAAUGGCCCAAAAAACUGAGGUAGCACCAAUGACUUGGUGCUAUUAAUAGCAUAGUAGCCUAGUUCUACUAUGAGCCGGCUACUAUGGCUAUUAAUUGUACGAAGCACUUGGUGCUACCCAAGUUUUCCGCCGUUAGAGUCUAUCCCUUUUGAACAUUUUUCACGAUCCGUUAGAUCAUUCUAAUUCAACCAACCACCCACCAAACCCUUAAGGGGGGGGGCCCCAAUAUCAUCCUUAACGCACAUCUCUUAAUCAAUGCCGAAAACUGGGUAGCGACAAUGACUUGGUGCUAUUUAAUAGCAAUACCUAGUUCUAUAUGAGUCCGGCUAACUAUGCUAUUAAUAGUAUGAAGCACUUGGUGCUAACCAAGUUUUCCGUAGCCGUUAGAUCUACCCUUUUGACAUUAUCAUCCCGUUAGAUAUACUAUUCAUGCUAGUUAGAGUGUAAAACGGCCGGGCAGCCGGCCGCCCGGCCCGCACGGAUAUUGUACAUUCGCGGGCGGGCUCGGGCCGGCAGGCUCUUCGGGCCGUGCUGGGCUGCAUUUUCUGGGGCCGACGGCCAGGCAUGAGGAGAGCCGUUGGCCGCACAGCAGGCCCGGAACCCCUAGACCCAAGGCAAGUCUUGGCCGUGUCCCGGGGGACCUUGCGUUGGAUAAAAUCGUUUAUUUUAAAUAAUUUCGUAGCCGAUCUUAUUCAGCCAACAAACAUGCGAAAUUUUUGAAUAAAAUUUUUUUGCCAAAUAAUUGCCGAAUUAUUCGUGUUUAUUGAAAAAACUGCACUCUCUUAAUCGCAAUCCAAAACUGGGUACACCAUGACUUGGUGCUAUUAUCGCGAUAGUAACCUAGUUUAUAUAUAUAUAUAAAUAUAUAUUAUAUAUAAUAUAUAUAUAUAAUAUAUAUUAUAUAUACAAAAUGAUAAGCCAAAAGCUGUUUAAUUAAAAAAUGAAAAUUCCCCUAACUAUAUAUUCGGAGGCAAUUAACUAUAUCUGAACAUCAUAAUUUAUCUCUAAGUAAAUUUAAUAGUUUAUUUUAGAUGGCUAUUUUUGAUGUCCUAGUUUAGCAUUAGAGUUCCUGCAAACCCAAAAAAACAAAAAAUUAUAACUAAACUAAAACUGAGCUGAAAUUUCUUUGAGUACGGAUUUUUACAGUUUGAGCGUGGAAAACUUAACGAUCCAUAAUUUUUCGCUCGAGUGUUUGUUUAUUAGUGUACAAUCUCAAUUCAAAAAACACCAUUCUAGAGAAUCUAUGCAAGAGCAACACAACGUGGUUUGAACCGAUUUUGGGAUCCAAAUUUUGGGAUCCGAAUUCAACUGUUAGGUCUCUGUUUUUAUAUUAUUAAAUUAUUUUGAAAAAUUCUUAGGUCUCUGUUUCCUUUUUUUUUUUUCCGCCUCCUUUUUUUUCACAUUCAUUGUGUCAUUGAGAGAUAGACAAAACGUUCUGUAGACACAACCUCUAAACUACAACGAUCAAGCACACACUCUGCUCAUGCAAAAUACACACUCCCAGCAGCGCAUCUCACCCCUGCCGUGAUCGAAAUCGGAUCCGAAACACUGCGUGAUCUCUCGAUACCGGGUAGAUCAGACUGUCUCCUCUUUCGCGAUCUCGUACUCCACGUAUCUUAUGCCCAAUGCCUCGCAGUCGCUCUCCGAAUCGUGGCUGCAGGCCUCAUUCAGCUCCCCCGCACGGCACGACUGCACCGCCGUCAUCUGCGCCGUCCGCAGAAGCAUGUUGUCAGCCCCGCUCGUGAAGCCAUCAUCGCGUCGCACGAGUUCACAACCUCACGCGAACUCGCGACGUCCCCCGUUGCCUCCGUCGCGCCGACACCACUCUGAAUCUCGCUCUUCGCCAUCGACAUCCCCACCUUCCUUUCUCGUUCAUCACGACCUCUGACGCGCUCUUUCGUCAGCAGCAUCAGUAGUCUCGGAUUUCGCCUCUUAUCUACCUCGCUCUCUUCAGCGGGGGGAAGCAUUGUCUCAGGAACUCCUUGAAGUCGCUCACUGGAAUAGUUAUUUGGAGAUAUCGAGGAUCAAUGCCCGAGCUCUUUGUGCUAUUUUAGUCCACAUGAACGAAGGGGAAGCAAUGAACUCGCUCUCGCCGUCGAGGUCGAUGAUCGAUAUUUGAGAGUUGCAGUUAGCAUUGGCGUGGUACUUCAUGAAUCCAUUGCCAGUGAAGUUCGUGACGAGGAACCGAACGCUCGCCGUUAUAUUCGGCGAGAGUGAUUAGAGGGGGAUCAGAAUGUCGUGAAGUCGUGGAAGAGAUUUCCGACGAACCCGCCCGUCGAAGAAGACGAUCGCCGGGACUUCCGUGCCUGGAAGUGCAGAAGGGAUCUGAUCAUUUGCCGGAGAAGAAUUAUGUGAGUUCUUGAUUGAGUCCAUGGUGUUCUGCUCGCCACUUUUCGCGCGUACGGCCUGAUCUUGUAUGAUGGAUGAGAGGUGUUGUUGUUGUUGUCGAAGGCCGCCGAGAUGAUGACCAAAACGCGACAAUUUGAUAUCGCGUGGUCGCCAGGUAACAAGUGUCAGAUCUUUGUUUGGCGAGUAGUCGCAAACCGAUUUUGUUCUUUGGAUUUAAACAUCUGUGUUUGACAGAGAACUGUAUAUUAGAAUAUAUGUGAUGGAUAAAAUACACAACACAAUUCUUUUUUCGGCUUAAUGAAGACAGCAGGUAGGCUUGCUACUUUUAUAUUCUCAAAGAAAAAAAAAAGAAGAAGAUAAAUAACCAUCUUUUGUAAAGCUGAUUCUAAUUGAUACAAAAAAUUAUCUAAUAUAUCACCCUUUUUUCCCAUUUUUGUUUAUUAAGGCUAUUGACAAAAGGUAAUUUUUUCUUGUAUCUACCAAAUGCAUAAGCUUAGAUAUCUUUAAAUAUACUUGGGGCAUGAUAUAUAGCAUUGAAUAUAUAUGGAUGCAGGCAGAACCUAUUAUAUACGUACCCUUGGGGUUGAUUUUUUUUUUUUUUGAGAGGAUAGGUAGUACGCGCUACCCGCUUGUUAUUUUAUUAGAAAUAAACUUAGCGUAGAAAUGAAUCAUUAGGAUUCGAACUUGGGUCUCAGGGUACCAACGCAAGCCUUGCCACUUGCCUAAGGGACCGGUCGGUCUGGGUGAUUCUUGCUCCUUAUUUUUGUCUCAUGGGACAGGCUCAUUAGAGCAACAACAAAAUCCUUUUUCUUUGGCUUCUCCUUCGUACCAAUGUUGACUCGAAAGAUUGAUCUUAUGAAAGGAGCAUAGAAAUUUUUUCAUUUAACAUUCCACUUACGUGCACGCUGGAUAUAAAAGGUAUAUAGAGGUGAAAAUUUUCACACCGUUAAUUAAAUAUUAAGUGCGGAAUUGAAUCCGUGAUUCCCCGCUAAAUAUUUAAAGUGGGGAUUGAUUUCACGGACCUUAAGAAUGAAGGAAGUUUAAAUAGUUCUGACAUCAUGUUCAAUAAAAUAUAAUCAACUUUAGUUCCAAAGCUAAAUAUUUAUAUUGACUAUUCCUCGGCUCAUGAGUUUGGGCACAGAAUAUUUUUCAAUAGCCCAAGGUGUGGACUUUGAAUUAAAUGAGAAAAAAGUUGUAAAUAUUAAGAGCUGACGAAACUUCAAACUCAGAGCCUCCCAGUUGAUACCAUAUUUAAAUUAAAUGAAAUAACCGUUGUUCUAGGUCAAAAUCUUUAGCUUUUGAAAAUAACGAUUGUUUCGUAUUAUUUAACACAGAUAAAGAAAAGGUUAUUACAUUCGUAUAUGCGCUAGGAUUUUCUACCUUUGAUGGUUGUCUGCUUUCUUAUCUCUAUCUCCAGACUCUUAGACGCAACAAUCUUCUUUUUUCUGCUUUCUCCUUCGCAUUACGAAUGAACAUCGCCAUUUUGAAUUCUGAAAUUUCAUAAUGCACUGCAACAAAUUUAAUCACAUUUUUUUCUCUCGCAAAAAGAAAAAUAGUUUGUUUGACGCUUCGUACGUCGCCACAAAUUUCCACUGACACAUGCAAAGUCGAAAACAUGUUCUUAGUUAUAUAAAAGGUACAAUUGCCACCGGCGCUAUACCUCGCGGGCUAUGCCAUUUCCAUCCUCCUUGGCUUCGAUCGUAGAUCUUAUCUGCGAUAUGAAUUUACAGUUUACCGAACGUAAUUCGCUCUAAAAUCCAUCUUUUUGUGAGAACGAAUAAUAGAUAGUCCUUUUAAAAACCUAGGUUUAGCAUCUAUGAGGAAACCAUGGGUGCUAGCUUCAAUGUGAGCUAGAUCCAUCAUCUCUAAACUCAUUAGGUUCCGUUUGAACCAAUAAAAGCAACAAAACCCAUCAAACCCUAGAAAUCCAAAACUAGGGUUAGAGCUUACCUCUAGGAUUUGCUCCAAAAUAAACUUUAGCUUGAUGGAGAGGAGGGAGAAGAGCUUCUUAGUCUUCUCCUUGAUCUUCUCCUUCCUUUCUCUCCUUAUCUUCUUCUUCUUUCUUCCUCUUUUCUUCUUCUCCUUCUUUUUCUCCUUCAACCGGUUAGAGAGAGAGAGAGGGAGCUAGAGAGAGAGAGAGGCUGUGAGAGUGGGAGAGGGCACAGCUGAGGAUAGGAGGGUUAAGUCCUCUAUUGUAACAAUGUGCUAAAAAGCCCUCCAUUUAUCAGAUUUUGCAACUUAACCCGCUACCUGCGCGCCCUUGUACCGGUACACGGGACCUUGUACCGGUACAAGGCCUUAUACCGAGCGCAAAUCGAGCCUCGGGUUUCUGUGUUUCGCAGAGCUUGUACCGGUACAAGCCAGCCUUGUACCGGUACAGCGCCUGAAGCCUUCGAACCCGAGAGCUACGCAGCCUGGCUGCGAUGGCUGUACCGGCACAGCCAUCACCCUUGUACCGGUACAGCAGCUCCAGAAUGCUGUUUUAACUUCGUUUCGGCUCCACUUCGCGCCGAUCGAUGUCCAAGCUAUUCCAACGCCUUUAGAACUCAUUUUUGCUCUUCCAAAUUGUUGGAAUACCGAAUGGAACUUGUCCAAAUCGUUCAAUCGCCCACUUUGAUCCAUUUGGCCAAAGUUAGCCAAUAUCGUCGAAAUUCGAUAUCUCACAUUCUCCACCCCUUAAAAGGAGUUUCGUCCUCGAAACAACUCAACUCUUAAAUCGAACUUAAACUCUUACCUCAAUCCUUGAACAAGUGAGGAUGAUUCGCUUUCAUCCGGUCCUCGAGUUCCCAAGUGGCUUCGCGAUCGUCGUGAUUGCUCCACCGGACUUUAACAUAGGAAAUUUCUCGAUUCCUUAGCUUACGCACCUCUCGAGCCAAAAUCUCUACCGGAAACUCUUCAUAGCUCAAAUCAUCUUGAAGUUCCGGCGGCUCAUAAAGCAUCGCAUGCUCGGGGUCGUAAAUAUACUUGCGAAGAUUGGAGACGUGGAACACAUUGUGCACACCCGCAAGCUUUGGGGGCAAUGCAAGUCGAUACGCCACCGUCCCAAUUCGCUCCAAAAUCUCGUAGGGGCCAAUGUAACGAGGACUCAACUUUCCUCGUACCCCAAAUCGUUUCACGCCUCGCAUCGGCGAAACCUUCAAGAAUACGCGGUCACCCACCGCGAACUCCAAAUCUCGCCGGCGUCUAUCCGCAUAGCUUUGCUGUCUCGACUGCGCCGUAAGCAAUCUCUUGCGAGCAAGGCGGACUUUCUCUUCCACUUCUCGCAACACAUCCAGGCCGAACUCCGCACGCUCACCUACAUCGCUCCAGUGUAUAGGAGAUCGACAUAUCCGUCCAUAGAGGACCUCAAACGGUGCCAUCUCCACACUAGCAUGAUAACUAUUAUUGUAGGCGAACUCGGCCAUCGUUAGGUGGUCACACCAACUUUCUUUAUAGUCAAUGACACACGCUCGCAACAUAUCCUCCAGAGUUUGAAUGGUUCUCUCCGUUUGCCCAUCGGUCUGGGGAUGAAAUGCGGUGCUAAAGUCCAGCCGUGUGCCAAGGGCUUCCUGCAGGCUCUUCCAAAAAUGCGAAGUGAAUCGGGGGUCACGAUCCGACACGAUAGUUUUCGGCACCCCAUGCAGUCUCACUACCUCGUCAAGGUAUACCUGCGCUAACUUGUCACCCGACCACGUGGUAUGGAUCGGUAAGAAGUGAGCCGACUUCGUCAAUCGGUCCACAAUUACCCAAAUUGCAUCGUGGCCGCCCUUUAAGCAGGGUAAGCCGACCACGAAGUCCAUCGAUAUAUCCUCCCAUUUUCAAACGGGGAUUGGUAGGCUUUGAAGCUUUCCCGCUGGAAAUCGAUGCUCGGCCUUCACUUGUUGGCAUGCAAGGCACUUCGCCACAAAGCGCCCGAUGUCAGCUUUCAUUCCCGGCCACCAGUAGUGCAUUUUUAGGCCUUGGUACAUCUUGGUGCCGCCCGGGUGACCACCAUACGGGGACCAAUGCGACUCCUGGAGUAUAAGCUUGCGAAGCUCCCCAUUAGCGGGUACACACCUCCGAUUCCGAAACCGAAGCGUACCAUCGACGUCUACAUUGAACUCGCCGCCAUGACCUUCCUCGAUGUUUCGCCGCACCUUUUGGAGUUCUGGGUCCACAAGUUGCAGAUCUUUGAUCCUCUCCAACAAGGUCGGUUGGACAACGAGUGCCAUCAACUGAAUCGGGACCUCGGGAGCAACCACUUCAAGGUCCAAUCGCUCCAUAUCCAGCCCUAGGGGUUUUUGCUGGGUAACAUCAAAAGCGAGGUUCUUCGCCGUCUUCCUACUCAGCGCAUCCGCGACCACAUUAGCCUUCCCGGGGUGGUAAAGGAUAUCAACGUCAUAAUCCUUCAAUAGCUCCAACCACCGCCGCUGACGCAUAUUGAGCUCUUUCUGUGUGAACAGAUACUUCAAGCUCUUAUGGUCGGUGUAGAUCUCGCAAUGAGCACCAUAUAAAUAAUGUCUCCAAAGCUUUAAGGCAAAGAUUACCGCCGCCAACUCUAGGUCGUGAAUGGGGUAAUUCUUUUCAUAGCUCUUAAGCUGACGAGAUGCAUAAGCGAUAACCUUCCCGCCCUGCAUCAGCACACACCCCAAGCCCAGAUAAGAAGCAUCACUGUAGACGACGUAGUCCUGCCCUUGCACCAGUAAGGCGAGUACCGGAGUCAAAGUUAACCUCUGCUUCAACUCUUUAAAGCUCCGGUCACACUCGUCACUCCAAACGAACUUGGUGCCUUUUUGCGUCAAACGGGUAAGUGGAGUCACAAUCUUAGAGAACCCCUCCACAAACCGUCGAUAAUAACUGGCUAGGCCCACAAAACUACGGACCUCGGUAACAUUCGUCGGCCGCGGCCAAUUCUCAAUAGCCUCCACUUUCCUCGGGUCAACUAAAACUCCACCCUCGGAAAUAACAUGCCCGAGAAACGCAACCUCUCGAAGCCAAAAGUCGCAUUUCUUCAGCUUUGCGUACAAUGUCUUCUCCCGAAGAAUCUGAAGUACUGCGCGCAAAUGCUCCGCGUGCUCCUCGUCGCUACGCGAAUAUACCAAAAUAUCGUCUAUGAAGGCUACGACAAAUCGGUCCAAGCACCCCUGGAACACUCGGUUCAUCAAGCUCAUAACGCUGCCGGGGCAAUCGUGAGCCCAAAUGGCAUCACCGUGAACUCGUAGUGUCCAUAACGCGUGCGGAACGUCGUCUUCUGAACAUCUUCCGGCUUGAUCUUUAACUGGUGAUAGCCGGACUGAAGGUCGAUCUUAGAAUACACUCGCGACCCCUACAACUGAUCAAACAAGUCAUCAAUACGGGGUAGCGGGUACUUGUUCUUCCCCGUGACCUUGUUCAACUAGCGGUAAUCCACGCAGAGUCGAAAUGACCGAUCUUUCUUGCGCACAAAUAAUACCGGGGCACCCCACGGCGAAACACUCAGCCUAAUGAAUUCCUUGUCGAGAAGAUCCUGCAAUUGAUCUCUCAACUCCCUUAGCUCGGCCGGCGCCAUGCGAUACGGGGCCUCAGAAAUCGGCGCUGUCCCAGGAACCAAGUCGAUCAUGAACUCGAUCUCCCGGUCUGGCGGCAUACCCGGUAACUCCGCGGGAAAAACGUCGGGGAACUCCCGCACAACCGCCAACUCCUCGAGGAUUGGAACUGCUCGGUCAAUCUCCACAACGGUCGCCAAAUAAGCGAUGCAACCGCUGUUCACCAGCUUCCUCGCUCUAGUCGCCGAUACCAUCGCGGCGAAACACGAGCUCUUACAAGCUCAAUAGGUAAACUCUUCCUGUCCCGGCUCCCGAAAUGUAAUAACUCGAGUCGGGCAAUCGAUCGAUACAUAGUACUUCGAGAGCCAAUCCAUGCCCAAUAUGACAUCGAAUUCCUUCAACUUCUUGAGCACCAACAAGUUGAUCGGCAUAACCCAGUCAUUCACUCGCACUGGACAUGCCAAGCAUCACUUCCUAAUCAGAAAGGAUCACCCGGGGCCCUCAACAUGUCAAACGUGCUCCCCAAGACGAUACUCAAUAUCAUGCGCUCGUGCAAAUGAUCGACUAAUGAAUGAGUGUGAUGCACCUGUAUCAAACAAAGCUCUAGCUCGAACAUCUUUAACCAAAAUUAUACCUGCCACAACAUUGCGCUCGCCGGCCUCUGAAGGCUCCUCAAUGUGAGCGGGUGCAGCAUACAUCCUUCCGCUCGGCGCAGAUCGUGCAGGCUCUGGUUGGCGUGGCGCCGCCGCUCGCCCAGUAGAUGCUGCAGGAGAGGGCAGAGCAUAGCGAGCUGGAACCGCCGGGGCCGAUGCAGUCGACAUAGCGGGCGAAGCUUCUCCCUGAGGACAGUCGCAAAUCUGAUGUCCCGCUUGCCCGCACUUGAAGCACCUCCCUCGGCGCUACUCACAAACACCCGGCCGGUGGUCUCCGCCGCAGAAGACGCAUCGCUGAGCACCACGACCCUUGGGCUGUGAGCGUUGAUACUUCGGGGGCCUCCUGGAGCUCGACUAGCCACCCGAUCCACCGCCCUGUCUUUUCUUGCCUUUAUCCUUGUCAAACGCCUCACGGUCCUCACGCUCGCAAGCGUUCUCGUGCUCGACCCAUAGCGCGAGAUCUAGUGCUCCCGCCAAAGUGUGGAACUUGAAGGCAUGCACCAACUUGAACACUCCGGGCCGAAGACCUCGAACGAAGCAAUCCGCCCGGUCUUGCUCUGUCGCCGCUACAUCCGGGACGCAGCUCAGGAGAUGGGUGAACUCCCGCUCGUACUCCCGAACUGUGCAGUUGCCUUGCUUGAGCUUGCGGAAAUCUUCCCGCAUCUUCCUCUUAUCACUGUCGGGGACGUACUCGGCGAACAUCAGCUUGCGGAACUCCGCCCAAUCGAUCGGGGGAAGCUCCAGGGAUCGGUCCUGCUUGACCCUCCACCACCAAGUCUUGGCCCGCUUCUCAAAGCAAUGCGCGGCCAAGUUCACCUUGUCCUUCUCCAAGGUGAAAAUGUCCUCAAAUAGGGUCUCCAUAGUCGUCAGCCAAGACUCCACCGCAGCUGGAUCCACCACCUCUCCGUCGAAAGUAGGCGGGCGAAACUUCGUGAACCUCGUGAGCGCCACGUAGCCUCGCUCACGCUCCGCCUCCUCAGCCGCCACCGCGGGGGUAGGAGAACUCGAACUAACCGGAGGAAUAUCCACCGGUGGGGGUUGCGCCGCCACCGGAACCGAAAUGCCACCCACACCCUCGGCCGCAUCAGGGGCGCGAAUCGAAGGCGCAGGCGGACCGCGGCCUGGAUCCGCUGCCGCAGCCGCCGCCGCAGCCUGCUGCUCCAGCAGCUCCUGAAUCCUAUCGAAUCGUCCAGUGAGCGCCACAACAUGCGCUCGCAACUCCUGCACCUCAGUAGGCCCAGCUGGCACUGGCGCCACUGGAGGCACGGCUGUCUCGGGCACCUCUCGAGGUGGUGCCGGAGCGGUCCUACGCACGUAGCGUCUCUUUGGUGCCAUAGCUCCUGAAACGCAAACCGUUGGUUAAUUACUUAACUCGACAACAUCGUCGUAAACACGAAGUAUAACGAUUAAACAACAUCAAUCAGGCGGUAGCUUGCAAGUGUCUUAGUUCUCGACUCUCGGCAUCGUGUUGUCGGCCGCCAACACAAUCACCUUAAGUCAAAAAUUAAUACCACUUGGAUCAUCUCUAGCCAUAACUAGAGUCUCAACAACUCCAAACCCAAUCAUUUAGCUUCCGCCGCGUCAUAGAUUCACGUCGCACUCACGCACCUAUAACCUUAGGGUUAACCAACCUAGAGUCUCCUAGGUCAUCCUAGACUCUCUCUUUUGCUUGCUCUUAACUCGCUCUGAUACCACUAAACUGUCACGUCCCUGACCGCACCACCCGAAAACGGUACCAAUUUGGUCCGGUUCGGGGGCGGCGGGCGCGACCGCCGGACGGACGGAGUUUCCCCUGUCCGCCGAAGGCUAAGCAACAGAUUGUGUACAACAAGUCCCCAGGAAUACAACUUGAAUACAUACACAAUCAAACAACGAUAAUCGAGAGCACAAACAGUGCUACGACCAACUAGAGCAAGCGAUACCAGUAAAACCAUACAAGUUUAUACAAAGAGAGCAACUUAGCUAUUUGAGACAUCAUUGAAACAUUAACCUCUUUCGAUUUCAUUUAACUUUAAACAUUUGAUACAACUUGCGUUCUUUAUCCAAAAUGAAUAUAAAUCAUAAGCUCUCCAAAUCUCACUCUAUACAAAAACUACUCUCAAAUGUAUAACCAAAAGUACGGUAGAGCUAAUGCAAGUAGGAAGGUAAAGCAAUCAACAACUGCUAGGGCGCUAUGCCCUUGCGCGCAUCAUCGACGAAGGCCCGCUGUCCUGUAUACCUGUACCCCCAGAGCCACACGGGGUGAGAACUACAUAGUUCCCAGUGGGUUCGGCCGCGACUCCGCCGAUCUAACCACUAGGUCUCAAGUAGGCAUAGAGAAUAUAUACUGCAAUAUAUAUAUAAAACAAAGUUGACGGGAAAGCGAGUAUGUAAAACUAAUCAAGCUAUGACCUCAAUCUGGAAUCAUGAAUGCAUGAACAAUAAACAAAGCUGUGGUAAAUAAGCAACUAUCAACAUACUACAACAGCUAUCAUAGUAACUAUAAACAUGCUACUAGGUAAGCAGUAAGCUGAUAUGAACAAUGAAUAGCUUACUAUGACAUCAAUAAUGGGUAAGACUCAAUGGGUAACCCAAUCUCCAAAUGAACACAAGGUUCACAAGCAAGGCUCACAUAUGCAAUCUCCUAGGGAUGUCGAGCUGGACUAUCCCCGAGUACGCCUGCGGAUAACAAGCGGCUAUCCGAGCAGCAAGCAGGGCUGCUCUCUAGUGACCAAAUCUCCGGAGCGCACAACUUGAGGGAGCGACCCACCAAGCCAGACAGGCAAUUGAGCCAAGAUUCAUCACGAGCAACAAACAACAACCCUUUGAGGGAAUAUCAUCAUGGAAGCGAGGGUAUACAUGUACCCAAUCUCAUGGUGUCUCAACUACACUAAUGUGAUCAUCAAGGAAACAUCAACAAUGUCAUUCAUCAUGUUUUUCUAACAGAUGCCACUUGUUCAUAGUUUUCUUAACUAGAUGCACUCGGCUCAAUUUGACUCAUUAUCAACACUAGUUUCCUCAUACUAGUUCUUAGCAACAUAAGCAUUAACAUUUCAUAUAGGGUCUAGAUUUUCAUCAAGCAACCUCAUGCAUACUAGAUCUAAAACCAACCAAGCAAUAUAUAUAUUAUUGAACUAAUAGUAUGCAAGUAUAAGCACAAUAAUCAUUUUCAACCCUAUAUGUAUUAUGCACAAUAUGCAAAUGAUCAAUUAAACUUAGACAUAGGAAGGUGGCGAUGACUUCGGGAUGGCACUCCCCCACCUUGGGUGAUGCGCAAACACUCCGAGACCGGCUUCUCGUGCUAGUCUUGUCGCCGCUUAAUUUUCGUUGGUUAACUUUAACCCUUUAGCGACUCGAAUAGACGGAUAUCUUCGCGCCCACUCGUCGGAUCGACGAACGUCUGCCUACGCGUUUUAUAAGCAUAAGAAAUUAGGUUUCUAACCCCUCAAAAGAGAUCAAUCCCUCACAUUUUCAAAAUCCCCAAAAUUUAACCCUAGGUUGGGAUCCAUGAGAGGUUAUGGAUUAUAGUUCAAUGUGAGCUAAUCCAUGUUCUCUAAGCUAUUAGGUUCCAUUUGAACCAUCAAAAGCAACAAAAACCAUAAAACCUAGAAAUCACAAGUUACCAUGAAAGGGGUUGGAGGCUUACUCUAGGGUUUGCUCCAAAGCAAGCCCUAGGCCAAAAACGAGAUGAGAAGGGCUUCAAAACUCUUCUCUCUUCUCCUUCCUUUCUCCUCUCUUUUCUCUCUUUUCUUCUUCUUUUCUCCAACGGUUAGAGAGAGAGAGAGAGCUUAGAGAGAGAGAGGGGCUGUGGGGAGUGAGAGAGGAGAGAGCUGAGGGCAUGAGGGUUAAGUCCUCUAUUGUAACAAAAUGCUAAAAAGCCCUCAUUUUAUCAGAUUUUGCAACUUAACCCGCUGCUGCGCGCUCGUGUACCGGUACACGGGUUUGCGUACCGGUACGCGCCCUGCGUAACGGCCAAACCCGAGAGCAAACCCGAGGGCUGCGCAGCCUGGCAGCAAUGGCUGUACCGGUACAGCCAUCAUGCGUGUACCGGUACACCAGCUCCAGAAAGCUGUUUUCAGCCUCGCUUCGGCUCCACUUCGCGCCAAUCGACGUCAAACCCAUUCCAACACCUUUGGAACUCAUUUUAGCUCUUCCAAACUCGUUGGAAUACCGAAUGGGACUUGUCCCAACUUCCGAUCGCUCACUUUGGUCCAUUGUGCCAAAGUUAGCCGUUUUCGUCGAAUUUCGAUAUCUUACACCCGUACUACCCAGACUAUCACCGGUUAAGCAACUUGAUAGAGGCCAAACCUGAGAGCUGGCUUCUAGGGUGGCCUGCCUGGUACCGGUACUGCCCUGGUGCUUCACUGGUUAAGUAGUGCCCAGACUGCAGUUUGGGCAGUGUUUGGCUCCAAUUCGCGCCGAGCAAUGCUAAAACUCUUCAAUCGCAUUCGAAAUUUAACUCUAACCCCUCCAACACUGUUGGAGUGUCAAUUGGACUUUGUCCAACCAUUUCUCUCACCAAAUUUUGGUCAAUUUGACUAAAGUUCGAUAUAGCCUACCGAGGUUUCGAUAUAUUACAUUCUCCACUGCUUAAAAAUAGUUUUGUCCGUGAAACUAAACACAUACCUUAGCUUGUCGACUCGAAUAAGUGAGGAUACAUCUUUCGCAUUGUCUCCUCAAGCUCCCAAGUGGCUUCACGCACUGCAUGAUUGCUCCACUGGACUUUAACGUAGGGGAUUGUGCGACUUCGCAACCUCCUUUCUUCUCUACCGAGGAUACACACCGGGUACUCCUCAUAGGUCAUGUCCUCGCGUAACUCCACGGGCUCAUACUCUACCACGUGAGUCGAAUUGCGGAUAUACUUGCGGAGAUUCGACACGUGAAACACAUUGUGAACUCCCGCAAGCCUCGGUGGUAAUGCAAGCUUGUAUGCCACCGCACCGACCAGCUCCAAUAUCUCGAACGGUCCAACAUACCGGGGACUUAGCUUCCCAUGGACCCCAAAUCAUUUUACACCUCGCAUAGGUGAUACUUUCAAGAACACGCGGUCUCCAACCGCGAACUCUAAAUCUUUUCUAUGUUUGUUGGCAUAGGUUUGCUGUCUUGAUUGCGCCGUCGCAAGCCGUUGACGAGCAAGGCGAACUUUCUCUUCCGCCUCUCGCAACACAUUGGGACCAAGAGUAACUCUCUUACCCACUUCGCUCCAAUGGAUAGGAGAACGACACUUCUUUCCAUACAAAGCUUCAAAUGGCGCCAUCGCGAUGCUUUCUUGAUAGCUAUUAUUGUACGCGAAUUCUGCCAUCGGCAAAUAAUCGUGCCAUCCGCCCUUGUAAUCAAGUACACACGCUCGAAGCAUGUCCUCAAGGAUUUGUAUUGUCCUUUCUGAUUGACCGCCACUUUGAGGAUAGAAUGUCGUAAGUUGAGCCAUGUGCCCAAAGCGUCUUGCAAGCUCCUCCAAAAAUAAGAUGUGAACCUAGGGUCUCGGUCCGAUACUAUAGACACCAGAACCCUAUGAAGUCUCACAACCUCGUCAAGAUAUACUUAAGAUAACUUAUCUCCGGACCAUGUAGUGUAGAUCGGCAAGAAGUGUGCCGAUUUCGUCAAUCGAUCCACUAUUACCUAAAUUGCAUAGUGUCUGCCUUGAGAUCGAGGCAAACCGAUCACAAAAUCCAUUGCGAUGUCCUCUCAUUUCCAAACGGGUAUUGAUAGACUUUGCAACUUUCCCGCCGAAAACCGGCGCUCCACUUUUACUUGUUGGCACGUAAGACAUUGCGCUACGAACUCCCCAAUAUCUCUUUUCAUGCCCGGCCACCAAUAAUGCACUUUUAGGUCUUGGUACAUCCUUGUGCCCCCCGGGUGAAUACUAUAGGGAGAUUGAUGCGCCUCUUGCAUAAUCGCCUUUCGAAUGUCCUCAUUUUUAGGCACACACCAACGAUUUCGGAAUCGAAGUACGCCAUCGGUCCCAAUGCCAAAAUCAUCGGCACUACCGUUUUUAACUUCACCAUGCACCUUUUGAAGAUAUGCAUCAAAAGCUUGUUGCUCUUUAAUCUUCUCCAAUAAGGUUGGUCGCACAACCAAUGUAGCAAGAGUAGCCGGCACUCCCAGAGCUACCACUUCAAGACCAAACAGUUGCAUCUCUUUUUGCAAUAAUGGUUGGGGUGUAAUUGCCGUAGCCAAGUUUUUCACCGAUUUUCUACUUAGAGCAUCGGCCACGACAUUUGCUCUUCCGGGGUGGUAUAGAAUAGUGAUGUCGUAGUCCUUUAGUAACUCUAAUCACCGCCGCUGUCGCAUAUUUAAUUCUUUUUCGGUGAACAAGUAUUUAAGACUCUUGUGAUCUGUGUAGAUCUCACAAUGCUCACCGUACAAGUAAUGCCUCCACAACUUUAGCGUGAAAAUCACCGCGGCUAGCUCAAGGUCAUGAAUUGGAUAGUUCUUUUCAUAACUCUUCAAUUGACGAGAAGUAUAAGCUAUAACUCGACCAUUUUGCAUCAAGACACACUCGAGACCAAUAUAUGAAGCAUCACUGUACACUACAAAGCUCUCCCCCGGAGUCUGUAGAGCAAGCACCGGGGUCUAUGUCAAUCUUUCCUUUAAUUCCUCGAAGCUCCGAUCGCAAUCGUCGCUCCAAACGUACUUCACCCCUUUGUGCGUAAGGAGCGUUAGUGGAGUAGUUAUUUUAGCAAACCCCUCCACGAACCGCCGAUAGUAUCCCGCAAGUCCAAGAAAGCUACGGAUCUCCACAACACGGGCGAGGCCAAUCCCUAAUUGCCUCGACUUUCUUCGGAUCCACCGAGACGCCGCUCCGGGAUAUCACAUGGCCUAGGAAGGUAACCUCCGAAAGCCAAAAAUCACAUUUCUUUAGCUUGGCAUAAAGCUUCUCUUUUCGAAGUAUUUGCAACACGGUUCUCAAAUGCUACUUGUGUUCCUCCUCGCUCCGAGAAUAAACCAACACGUCGUCAUGAACACCACGACGCAUCGAUCCAAUAACGGUCGAAAGACUCGAUUCACCAAGUCCAUAAAUGCUGUCGGGGCAUUAGUAAGCCCAAACGACAUUACCGUGAACUCGUAGUGGCCAUACCGCGUACGAUACACCGUUUUGUGCACAUCCUUCGGCCUGAUCUUCAACUGAUGAUACCCCGACUGAAGAUCAAUCUUUGAGUAUACCCGCAACCCUUUCAACUGGUCGAAUAGAUCAUCAAUCCUCGGUAACGGGUACUUGUUCUUGAUUGUCACUUUGUUCAACUCGCGAUAAUCCACGUAGAGUCGAAGUAUGACAUCCUUUUUCUUCACAAAUAGCACCGGAGCUCCCCACGGUGAUACGCUCGGCCUCACAAAGCCUUUAUCGAGCAAGUCUUGCAAUUGGGUUUUUAGCUCUACUAGCUCCGCCGGUGCCAUUCUAUACGGAGCCUUCGAAAUUGGCGCUGCCCCGGGAACCAAGUCAAUGCCGAACUCAAUCUCCCGGUCUGGUAGCAAUCCUGUAGCUCCGCCGGAAAUACAUCCGGAAAUUCACAUGCUACCCGAAUGUUCCCAAGUUCCGGGAGCUCCCUUUGAGUCUCUACCAUUGUCGCCAAAUAGGCCACACAUCCACCUUUAAUCAUCUUCCUCGCCCUCGCCGCCGAUACUGUCGCCGCGAAACGCGAGCUUUUACAUGCGCGAUACACUAACUCCUCUUGGUUAGGCUCACGAAAAGUGAUCACCUUGCUCUCGCAGUCGAUAACCGCAGAGUAUUUGGAGAGCCAAUCGAUCCCCAAAAUUACAUCGAAGUCCCACAUUUGGUUUAGGACUAGCAAGCCUCCCGGCAUAAUCCAAUUACCUAUCUGAACCAGACACGCCGCGCACUCCACGUGAAUACUAAAUGAAUGCUCUGGUGCAUUAACCCACCAAUAAUCCGGGCUAUACAACACCUCGAUGCCAUGAGUUUUUUCAAAUGAUGCACCAAUGAAUGAAUGAGAUGCGCCUAUGUCAAAUAAAGCUCUAGCUCUAGUACCAUUGAUCAAAAUAAUACCUGCCACGACAUCAUCUGAAACGGCAGGCUCCUCCACCUGAGUGGCGAAAACCCGUCCACUCGGUGCUCGAGAUCCCUUCGUCUGACGCGGUGCUGAUGAGCGUCCCGCCGACAUAGGAGGUGGCAACCCCGCAAGCUGCCUCGGGGUAGAAGGAACUGAUGCCGCCGUCAGAGCAGAUGACGCCCAACUCGGGCACUCCCGAAUCAUAUGCCCAACUUGGCCGCACUUGAAGCACUUUCCCACGCGCUGUGGGCAAGCCGAUGGUCGAUGCUCACCGCCGCAAAUGAUACAUCAGGUAGGCCUCCAAUUUCUUGACUGCUGUCGGGGAUAUCGAGGGGGUUUUUUAGCAUUCGGCCGGUCCCCGUCACCACUCGCCGCCCGUUUCUUUCCUUUGUCCUUAGACUCGGCCAUAGACUCGCGCUCCUCUCGUGCAUAAGCAUUGCCGUGCUCCGCCCAUAAUGCUCUAUGAAAGAUCUCCACAAGGGUCGUAAGCUUAAAGAUUUGCACUAGGACGCAGUCAAUAAUGUGGGAAACUCCUGCUCAAAGUCUCCCAUUGAACGGUCUCCUUGCUUCAACUUGUGAAACCUGUCCUGUAGCUUUCGUUUCACUGUAUCGGGGAAAUAGUUCACGAACAUCAACCUCCGGAACUCCUCCCAAAGCAUAGGCGGAAGGUCAGAAGAUCGGUCACGCUUUACCCGUUUUCACCACACCUUCGCCGCCUUCUUCAAACAGUGAGUGGCGAGGUGCACUUUAUCCUUCUCCUAGGUAUAUAUAUCCUCGAAGAGUGCUUCCAUCGCAUCGAUCCAUGACUCCACCAUCGACGGCUCCACCUUUUCCCCGUCGAACGUAGGUGGGCUAAACUUCUUGGACAUAACAAGCGCCGCCAAUGCACGCUCCCGCUCCGCCUUUGUAAGGUACCGAACUUCUAAAAUCAUGAAGUUACGUUGUCCAUUUGGUUGGAGAGCCAUUUGAAUGGUUCCGGUAAAGUUGCGGUGUAAUGUAAUAUACCGGAUUUAAAUAUAAAAAUAAAAAUAAAUAAAAAUAGUAUGAGAUACUAUUUUUAUUGGAUUUGGAGAAGUAAAAUAUGAGUUAGAAAUGACUUGUGCUGAAAUUGGAAUGAAAACAGAAGAUUUAGAAUUUUCUGUGAGAGACGGGGCAGAUAAAUUAGCAGAAAAUGCACAGUCUCAGAAAAUUAUGAAAAUUGGAGGACAAGUCAGAAAUAUUUUUAUGAGGCUAGAUUUAAGGUUUCAUAUUUUUCUGACACCCGUAGAGUGAGAAAUAAAAUCCGACAGUUAUCUGAUAAAGAUUACAGUUCGGUACAGUUUUCAGUGACCAAACGGGGUCGAAACUGAAAAGUUAAGAUAUAUUCUUACUCAGUACGUUAAACUGAGUCUACCUGUCAAAUUUGAGCUCAAUCGGACAUUCAGAAGGGUUCCGAUGGAACUUAUCAGAUUUGAGGGACUAAACUGAAAAGUGGAAUAGUUGAGGGGGCUGCUUGUGGAAAAGAGCAUUGCUCUUCUUCUCCUCCCUCAACCUGCGUACACAACCAGCCCCAAACCGACACACCCACACACGCAUGGAUAGGAGAAGAGAACCCUCUCUUUCUCUCUCUAAAUCUCUCCCAAAAUUAAGGGAAUUAGUGGAGAUUGAAGCUUGGAGGUGAAUCGUCAUCAUCUUCUUCAUCUUCUCCAUGGAUUGAAGCUAGUUUUGAGGUAAGCUUUUGCUACCCUUUAAUGGUAGAUCUCUAGAUAUGGGGUUUUGAUCUCUAGAAAUGGAUUUAGAGCUAUUCUAGCAUGCUAAAUAGACACUUGAAUACCGUAUAGCCACAUGGAAUUGUGGACAAUACUCUUUUGAGAAUUGGAAGUCGAGAUAUGCCGGGGUAGGCCAUCUCGUGGUAGAGCAAGGUCCGAAUAUGGUUAGAACACUCGCGAUUGGGUGAUGCACCAAUGAUAUUGCUUUUGAGCAAUGUUGGUAGUCGAAUCGCAAUGCCCCGAGGGGGGAAAAGCAAAUGCAAAGAAGAGUUCUUGCAUGCCGAAUGGUGAGUGAUGUUGGAACGCGUAGAGUCGUUGAGCUUCGACUUGCGUAACCACCAAGAAUGACGGAGACCCGUAAUGCACUUUCGGAGUUACGCUUAGCGAAUGUGAGUGAAUCUGGUCUCACAUCCUCCUUAAUGGACCUCUAAGUUGUUCCAAUAAGUGAAAGACCGCUCCGAGAUGCGAAAGUGCAUUGGAACCCUCGAUUACUCGAUGAGUUAAAUUGAGGUGUGAGUUGGAGAUGGAGUUGAUUGAGUUUCGAGGACGAAACUCUUAUUAAGGAGGGGAGAAUGUAAGGUACCGAACUUCUAAAAUUAUGAAGUUACGUUGUCCAUUUGGUUGGAGAGCCAUUUGAAUGGUUCCGGUAAGGUUGCGGUGUAAUGUAAUAUACCGGAUUUAAAUAUAAAAAUAAAAAUAAAUAAAAAUAGUAUGAGAUACUAUUUUUAUUGGAUUUGGAGAAGUGAAAUAUGAGUUAGAAAUGACUUGUGCUGAAAUCGGAAUGAAAACAGAAGAUUUAGAAUUUUCUGUGAGAGACGGGGCAGAUAAAUUAGCAGAAAAUGCACAGUCUCAGAAAAUUAUGAAAAUUGGAGGACAAGUCAGAAAUAUUUUUAUGAGGCUAGAUUUAAGGUUUCAUAUUUUUCUGACACCCGUAGAGUGAGAAAUAAAAUCCGACAGUUAUCUGAUAAAGAUUACAGUUCGGUACAGUUUUCAGUGACCAAACGGGGUCGAAACUGAAAAGUUAAGAUAUAUUCUUACUCAGUACGUUAAACUGAGUCUGCCUGUCAAAUUUGAGCUCAAUCGGACAUUCAGAAGGGUUCCGAUGGAACUUAUCAGAUUUGAGGGACUAAACUGAAAAGUGGAAUAGUUGAGGGGGCUGCUUGUGGAAAAGAGCAUUGCUCUUCUUCUCCUCCCUCAACCUGCGUACACAACCAGCCCCAAACCGACACACCCACACACGCAUGGAUAGGAGAAGAGAACCCUCUCUUUCUCUCUCUAAAUCUCUCCCAAAAUUAAAGGAAUUAGUGGAGAUUGAAGCUUGGAGGUGAAUCGUCAUCAUCUUCUUCAUCUUCUCCAUGGAUUGAAGCUAGUUUUGAGGUAAGGUUUUGCUACCCUUUAAUGGUAGAUCUCUAGAUAUGGGGUUUUGAUCUCUAGAAAUGGAUUUAGAGCUAUUCUAGAAUGCUAAAUAGACGAUUGAUGCUUGAAUCAUAGAUCGAUUUAAUGAUUUAUUGCCUAGUUGUAACAUAGGGCUCUAAAAUGCAAGUUUUGCUACUAGUAGGGUUUGAUCUCAUUUAACCCUCUGUAAACCUAAUUGAUAGGUCACUGAACGCGUUGGAAGCGACGGUUCGGCGUUGGAAGCGACGGUUCGGCGAUUCGUCGAGCCGGUGCAAAGUUAUUAAAGAAACGGACGUUUAGGCUUCGUUUCCGCCUGGAGGGCCGAGGCGACGUCGUAAAAUCGUGGAAACGGAUUUGAAGCACCGUAGCGAGAAACCGAAGACCUAUAAUUUCCAGAUCGCGGAUCGGAGGUCGUUUGGUGGUCGCGCACCGAUUGGGUCGAGCCGAGCGGCGUGCGCCGCGGGAGGCCGAUUGCAAGUGACGACGAGCAAUCGGAACGCGGUAAAAGGUGGGGGAGUGCCAUCCCGAAGCAAUCGGGUUUCUCCUUAUGUCUAAGUAUUUCUAUGUUGAUCAAUUAUGCAUAUUGAGCAUGAUGCAUUAUAGGGUGAUAGUUGAUGGUUGGUUCUAUAUAUAUAUAUAUUGCAUGCUUCUUGAAAGAGUAAUGUAUUUGGCUUAGUGCUUAUAUCUAGCAUGCUUGAGGUUUAUAUAUGCGAUGUGAAACCCUAUAAGAAAUGAUAGGUGUAGAUGAGAACUUAGUAAUAUAUUGGCUAUUGCAUUGGAAACUUUAAACAUGUCAUUGAUCAAGUUGCAUAUUAUGAUGUUGCAUAUAGGGUGUUUAGAAACUUGUAUCUAUAUUUGCAUGCUAGUGGUAAUGUAGCUUGGUAGAUAUAACACUUGAAUCUAGUAUGCAUGAAGUUAGUAUGUGCACCUUAACCCUAUAUGAGAUAAUAUGUAACGGAUUGGAACCUAGGCAAAUGAUAACCUAGUGUUUGUGUUGUGUGAACGAAGAACCUAGUAAAGUGUGAACUAGAGUCUUGGAAACUUGUAAAGGACGAGUGGCAUCUAGUUAAUGUUAACCUAUGACGAGUGGCAUCUAGUUGAUAGCACAUAUGAGAACCUUAGUGUAGUUGAAACACUAGAAGGUUGAGUAUUAGAUUGGCAUUGAGUUGAUGAGUUGUUAACCCUAGAUAAUAGGGUGUUCCCAGUGGAUGACACUAUCCUUAGUUGAUAGGAUGUUCCCAGUUCAUGAGAUUGGAUCGAGCUCACAUAGCCUGUCUGCACCUGUGGAGGUCGCUCCUCACAGGUAGUGCACUCCGGAGUUUGGCACGCGAGGGGGCCAGUGUAGUUGCCCUUGGACCAGUGUAGUGUCCGCAGGCGGUCUCGGGGUAGGUGAAGAGCUAGCCACCUCCCUAGGAGAUUGAUACACGUGAGACAGUGUGCGAGCCUUGUGUUCGCUGAGAGAUUGGGUGAUCAGAUGAAUGACAUCGUUGUUGAACCUAGUAGCAUGGUAGCUAACCUUUACUAUGAGUUGCAUCGACAUUGAGCAUAGUCACUUGGUAGUUGGACUAGUGGAUUUGCCUACAUACAGUGAGUGGACAUACUAUUCCUUCACCUAUGAGAUUUGAGAGGGACAGCUUGUACCUAGUAGAGCGAGAUUGAGUCGGGCAAGGAGCGGGGUAGCUCUUUGCCUAGGACCUUUGAGAUUGAGUCGGGCGAGGAGCGGGGUAGCUCUUUGCCUAGGACUUUCGAGAUUGGGUCG